GGUAAAAAUGGACAAGUGUCCGACAGUAGAAUUAGGGGUACAAGAUACCCACGUGAGAGAAAAAGAAAAUAUAGAGCAUCUCAUUUUCCUCAAAAAGUUUCAAAAGAGCAAGAAAGGUAUGUACCCCCUCAAAAGAGCAAAAGUAGAAUUAGACUUUCACCAUUGUUAUUACCAUCGUCACCAUCAUACACCAUUCAUUCGCCACACAUGCACAUCUUGAUUUGACUUAUUGACUUGUUCUUCUGGAUCCAUGGUUUGACUAUGCAAUAAAUGUCUUGUAAGUAUGAAUUAGCUGUCUCCCACCUAUGAGCUCCAGAUAUCAAAACUUUAUUAGAGUAGGGUGAGAGAGAAGGCAAUGCCACUAUGUGCCAUACCAAAAAUACAACAUACUUUGAGAGAAGGCAUAUACCAUUACUGCCUUGGUAAGGAUCUAGAAAUACCACAAAUGAGAGACUAGAGAGAGUCAUACAAGGAAUCUCUGAGUUUUAUUUGAAAAUCUGCAAAAAACUCCAGAGCUUUAGUUAAUCGAAGAACAAGAGACAUGGUGCUUGAUUAGACCGUUCUAUCUUUUAACUGCUCAAGACACAAGUGACGGUUGCAAGCCCCAUGGUGGAAGGUAAUAUGAGUAAGUUUAAAUCUUAACAGUUUACCCUAACCUAGAGAUGAGAUCUUGUUUGAACGCAUGUGUAUCUUUAAGGCAUGAAACCACUGCAAAAAUUCUUGAGUUCAUCUUUGCUCAGGGACGAGCAAAGGUUAAGCUUGGGGGAGCUUGUUGACAGUCCUUAAUGCUCACAUUUAACCAUCAACUAAUCAUGGAAAAGGAUCCAAAUGCAACCAACACCCAGACUUAGGGUUUUAUCUCAUAGAAUUCCACGAGUUUUGGUGUUUGUCUAUUUCUGCAGGGGGUUAUCAGGAAAUAAGGAGGAAAGGCCCACACAUCGGGUUUACAUAGAGAUAUUAACGUGCCACACAAUUUUCUAUCAUCUAGAAGACUCCAGAAGCCACGGGACCGAACGGGAAGGCAAUCAGGCUCGGAGGCAGGGCGCCCGCCCUACUCUCCUGGGCGCCCGCCCAGCUACAGUGCCCAAUCAGGACACGUUUCGCGGAUUAUGCUCCACCGACCUAAAGGAUCAAGGAAAACCGUGCGAUUAAUGUCGGUUUGAUCCGACGGCCUAGAUUCACUUGAAAGGACUAUAAAACCAGACCCCCUGGCCCCUGGAGAUCAUUCCUCUUCUACAGAAUCAAAGCUAGGGUUUCAAUUCUUCAUCCAAGUAGAGAGGAUCCCUCUAGUUCUUCUAGUUCUACAUCUAGUUCAUCUAGAUCUAGUUCUAGUUCAUCUAGUUCUAGUUCUAGUUCCUCUAGUUCUAGUUCUAGUUCUAGUUAGUUCUAGUUGUAAUCUAGAAAAUAGGGAGAGAGAUGAGGAGAGCAGAGGAGGAGGAGCCGGAUCUGUCGGAUCUUCCUCAACAUUGUACUUUUGCAGCAACUGGUUCGUUCUUCUUCGUUCUCUAGGUUCUUCAAUUCAUAAUUCCUGAGUUAUUUAGUUACUUUUAUUUACAUUCAAGUUAUUUAUUGGAUUCCCGCUUGCAUCAAGUGCUCUAAUCUUUGAAACAUUAGAGUAGUAAUUAAUAGAUUAGACGUGGUGUUUAGUCUUGCAAUUACUUGGAAUUGCACCCAAUCCUGCGGAUUGUUGUGGUAGCCUUAGGGUAGUGACAGCCCUAACGGUCGACGUAUUCCACCUCGUUCGGAUCGGUGUUUGUAGGACCGUAGUCAGACCUUCCUAGCCCCCUUCUCAUCUCUUUCUGUGGUUAGUGCUCUGAUGUCCCGAAAUAGAUAAACUUGAAGUAAUUCUUGAUUCUUAGAUGAACUAGAGAACUCUCAGGAAACUUCCUCUCUUCCCACCAAAAAUAAUUAUAUAGUUAUCCUUGGGCGAUCUUGGAUCUUACUUAGUACACUCACGUUCCCUGUGGAAAAUCGAUACUCUGGAAUACUCCCGGGUGAAGGCUACAUCGGUAUCCGUGCGCUUGCGGAUUUUUCUGUUUGCGUUUAAAAUACCCAACAGGGAGUUACCGAUGGCCUAUGAUACCGAUGAUAAAGCAGUGAGAGAAAGAGAUAUGGCUAAGUCUGGGAACAGUGAUUGAUCGAUGCCGAUGGCUGAUAUUGACGAUGGCUGAUACCGAUGGAAGAUGAUAUGCCGAUGAUGGUGAAAUAAGACGUAUGAGUUAUCGGGAACACAAUGGCGGUGUGUCGAUCACUCAGGAUGGAUGUAUUGUUGUGUUCCAUAAUUGAUAGAGUUUGUUUUACGUACGAGUCCUGUUUGGUUUGGAAUUAGAAUCCUAGUCGUGUCUGACUGUAACUCUUUAGGACAGAGUAUAAAUAUAGGCUUAAUAGCGAUGUAAGAGGACAAUCCAAUCAAUAUCAUACACAACUUUUACAUCUACUUUUGCAUCUACAUUUUCGAUGACUUCGUCAACUCGCAUCUUUUCUUUUGCUUAUGAGUUCUUAAGAAUUCAUCGAGUCAUACUCGACGAGUUCUCGAGUUCUGCAUGAAUACCUCUUGGCUGUGGCAUCCGGGCGCAUCGCUGUUGUCAGGAUCAAAGUAUUCGAGUUAUCACCUUUGUCAGUUGUAAGGUCAAAUCGACCGGCACGCCAUAAUGAUUGAAUCGGGUAUUAGCCCUUUGUGUUUGCAGAUCCAUUUUUGCACCAACACCUUUAAAUACAAUAAAUGAUUAGAGAGGUAAUACUAAAAACUUAGAACAUUAAAGACAAGGGUUAUCCUAUAGGGUGAUUGUUGGUGUUUACUCCUAGUGUAGGAGAGAAACAUGAUUGAUGAACAUGGAAUGGAAAAGAUUGCGAUUACUCCUAGUGUAGGAACAAUGCAUAUAUGAACUGGAGUGUGUAUGUGAUCUUGGUUUUAAAAGCAUGACAAGACUCUCGUAGGGUACACUACAAAGGUUGACUAAACUCAAUGCAAAGCAAGUAGCAUAAAUGCGCAAAAGUUUUCCUAACUCUAAAUGUGUAUUACAUAUGGCUUUGGUAGGAAAUUACUUUUUCAUACAAGAGCUCAUCAUGUAGGAUUUUGGGUUUUCAAAAUAAAUCUCCAAAACUUGUUAAUGUUAGGAAUAAGAUAAAUAGCAACUUAGACUUUCAAUGAUCAUAUCAACCAACUACCUAGACUUAGCUCAAACUUAUGCCUCCACAAGUUGCAAGUUCAGAGUAAAUCUUCAAAUUGAAACAGUAAUGUCCAAAACUCGAGAGAAUAUCAUGUUGAAAUCUAGGUACUUGUAAAGAUCUAUAACAAAGCAACUAUUCAUCCUUUCCAAGACAAAAUGUUCAUCAUUUUGUAUUUAGCUCUAGUUUAAAUUGACUCUAAAUAGACUCUAAUAUUUAACUAAUUAUAAACUCACAAAGAGACUCUAUGACUUGUGGACCUUCAAUUCAUGUGCCCACAUAUUUUUGGUAUUUUUAUAACUAUGUAGUCUCGAUAAUUGCUUAGGUAUAAUUACCUGAUAACUAGGGGAUGCUCCUCCCCCAAGCUGGAUGUUUGCAAUACUUGGUGUAGAUGUCCUUUAUAACGAGCUAACCAGUAGCGAACCCAGUGGGUGCCACUGAUAGACUCUCUCCUUGCUAUGAUGUUAUUCCUACAUAGUCAUACUCCAACAAGAAAACCAAAACUCGAGGCUUACAUUUAAUAAUGGGUUAGCGGUCAGCCAAUGAGCAAUUGAUUAUUCUUAUGAGCUAAUUUUAAUGUUGUCUAAUUUAAACAUGAUUCUUCUUUUUUUCUUCUUUUUGAAUUUUCUAUUUAUGAUGCACGAAAUAAAUAUGAAUGGCAUUUAAUUUUUUUAUGCAACCAUAGUAAAUAUCCCUAAGGGGUUACCAUAUGUUUAUUCACAUGGGGCUUUGGUUUUUUAUGAUGCAGUAAUUAAAGCAAUAAUUAUUUGUUUGUAUUUUGUAUUAAUACGCCAAUAGAAAUAAAUAUGCUACUAAAUGUAUUAAAGCAAAAUUACUAAUGCAUGCUAACUUAACUAGAUAACUACCAUUCUGACCUUGUGGCUAGGGUAUGGAAUUUAAAGUCUACCGACACGACUUAGAUAGUGGAGAGCACUUAUUCAGUGGGUUCAUUGUCUGAGGUAACCUCAGUCAACUCCCCGUCUUGCGGUGAUGCGGUACAUGCGUCUUCCUUACAUCUGGCUUCUGUCUCUUUUGCUUCUUCCUUCUCUAGUUCCAACUCUUCAUCUCUGUUCUCCUUCUCUCAUGCUUCUAAUCAGGCUAAGAUCUCCUCUUUCUCUUUCUUGGCAAUUUGGUCCAUCCUUUCAGCUUCUUCGGCCCACUCACUCCAUCGGGGUGCUUGCAUGUUCUCUUCUUGCUCCGUGAAGCAAUCUUCAUAUUUCACAAUCAUUGGCAGGAAAGUCUUCCCAUCCGCAGUGAGGCUGGUCAACUUGACGGCGGGCUUGGCGUCUCCUCCUGUUGCAUUGCUUCCUGAUCUACUCAUGGUUAACUUGUGUUCUAAAUUGACAACAUACCUUUCCAACAGGGAGGUUGAAGUGGAUAUGCCCUGAUCCGAUGUAGAUGUUGUCUUUGGCUGUAUAGAGGAACGGUCUUCCCAAGAGGAUCGGGGACUCAUAAUCUCCAUGUUAAGAACUAGAAAAUCUGUAGGUAUAUAUUGUUCUUAAAUUCUUACCAUGACAUCCUUGAUCACUCCUUUCAGGAACCUUAAUGAUUGAUCCGCCAUCUGCAAUUCAAUAUAUGUUGGAUAUAAAGGUAAAUCAAAUAAUUCAUCAUAUACCUGUUUUGACAUUAUGUUGCAGCCUGAUCCAGUGUCGCAGACGGUGUGAGGGAAGGUGGUGUCUGUGAUUGUGCAUUUAAUGAUUAGAACUCCUAGAUCACCUCUCUUGAUUGGAAAUGGCUUGGGUAGCAUAUGAUCAUUCUCUGUGUUGAGAGCGGUGAUCAAUUGAGUCGUCUCUGUAGGUGCAUGCUUGGUCCUCCUCCAUUUUCUGUUGUUUCUAUUGUACUUCUUCUUUGGCAUUGGUUGUUGUUCUUGCUCUUCUUGUUUAUGGAAUUGCUUCAAGGCUGCAAGAGCUUUGAGGACGUGGUUCUUGAAUGUGAAUAUCCCUUUCUUGUCCUUGAUGGAUAAGACAAUCUUGGCGUACUCCACAUAGAUGAUGGCUUUUGUUGUGCACAAGAAUGGUCUACCUAAAAUGAUGGGUGCCUUCUCAUCUACUCCUGUCUCCAUGACCACGAAGUCAACUAGGACAUAUGAUUGCCCCACUCUAAUGACAACUUCUUCUAGUUCUCCCUCAGGGUAGUAAAAGGACUGAUCUGCAAGCUACAAAUGCAUAUUUAUGUACAACAAGGGAUCAUUUAAUAUUUUCUCAUAAAUUACUUUGGGCAUGAUGUUGACACUUGCGCCAAAGUCAGAGAUAGCCUCUGGAAAGCUGGGGCAUCCUAUAGAGAUAUGAAUGGCAGGUCUCCCAGGGUCUCCCAUCUUCUCUGGUAGAGAGUGGUCAAUCCACUAUACAGCUGCAGGCUCAAUAUGAUAUUGGGUUGCAUUGUGAAUAGCAACAAGAUUAUCAAUUUCUAAAUCUUCUGGUUGGCCUAGAAUCUUGCCUUUUUCUAAUGGAGGAACAACAACAGUUAAUUGAGCUAAUUGUGAUUCUAGCAUUUUAUUGAAACUAUGCUGAUUCUUUAUAGCAGAAGCAAAAGUAUCCAUCGUAGUAUGUAUGUUUUCUAAAGUUUUAUCAUUUGAUGUUAGUUUCCUAGUUAUUUGAUCUAGUAGUUUGGAUUGACUAGUAACUAAUUCUCUCAAAGGUGGAAGAUUAUUAUUAAAAUUAUUACCUUAUUUGUUACCUUGGUAAUUACUUUGUCGAGGUUGUUGAUUCCAUCCUUGAUUUUGUUGAGGACGAUAGUAGGUGUUAUUGUUGAUGAAGUUCACAUCCUCUUGCAGUGUAGGGCAACUGACAGCUGAGUGGCUAUAGUCUCCACAUUCUUCACAUUUCAUAUGGGAAUCAUUGAUGUGUAUGACUUCCUUCUUCUCUAUGUCGAGCUUCUUCUUGAUGAGGUCUAGCUUGGCAGUGACCAUAUCAGCUUCCUUGAGAUGAUGGAUUCCUCCUCCUUUCUUCCGAGGCUGAGUACGUUCUUCAUUGUAUGUUGAAUUUGAGGCCAUCUUCUCAACAAGUGCUUUAGCGUCUGAGAGCUUAAGUGACAGGAAAGCUCCCCCAGCUGCAACAUCAAUAGACUCACGGGUACUAGAGAUGAGCCCAUGAUAGAAAAUCUGCAUUAACAGCCACUCCUCUAUUCCAUGAUGAGGACAGUCUUCCAUGUAAUUCUGGAAUCUUUCCCAUGCUUCAAUGAAUGAUUCAUCAUGUGGUUGUUGGAAACUUGAAAUCUUCCCAUGCAGAGCAUUAGUCUUAGCUGUAGGAAAGAAUUUUGCUAGGAAAGCAGUUGAGCAAAGUUCCUAUGUAUUAUGUUUGUCUUUAUUGGUGUAGAACCACUGCUUAGCUUUCCCCAAUAAUUAGAACAGGAAAAGACAGAGUAAGAUAACCCUUGUCUUUAAUGUUAUAGCAUAAUCAUCAAGUAUCAUAAUUAAAGAUAAUCAUCAAGUAUCAUAAUUAAAGAUAAUCAUCAAAGCAUAAUCAUCAAGUAUCAUAAUUAAAGAUAAUCAUCAAAGCAUCUACUAGUCAUAAUCAUAGUUAGCCAAUGGAUAAACUAGGGAGUUGGAUCUAAGGUAAUUCUAUAACUACGCCAAUGAAUAACUCUAAUUAGUGCAAUUACAUCUAGAAAUCAUCGUUAAGUCAACCCUAUAUCAUAAUUACAUGUAAAGAGGCAUCAACUAAUGAGGAUAUUAAGACACAAGGGUCACCUCCUUCGCGACCGCGCCCAUGCUUGUCCUACGUACGGAGGGUGGACUAUAGAGGAUCCAACGCAGUUGUCACCUACGCGGUCUACCACACGUCCCGGCAUGUCAGGGUGCACUCAUAGAUAAACAAGAUAUCUAGACACCAUGUCUACAUAUUGUCUACCAUCUACCCAACGAUCAAUUAGGUAAAUGUUAUACGAGCAAUUACAUGAAUUCAAUAAGAUCAAACCAACUAUCCUAGACAUAUAAUCAAAGUAGACAAUGACUAAUGCAAUUAAGAACAUAUGAAUUUAUUAAGAAUAAAGUCUCCCUAAUAUACAAUUGAAUACUAUAAAGUAAGAACUAGAUCUAUUACCGAACUCUUAUGCUCUAGACCGACGCUAGGGGCUCUAGAUCCCGAUGAAGAACUAGAUCUCCUCUACUUCUAAUCUAACUAACUAGAACUAUGAACUAGAAGGCUCUUGAUGAACUUGAAGGCGCUUGAUGCUUGAUGGCUUGAGGCCUUGAUGAAUAAUGAAGUGGCUGUCUCUAGGGGAGUCUACCCAUGUAUUUAUAGUCCGGUGGGAUGUGCGUGCCCCAUAGGAUCAAACCAACUUAACCAAGGGAUGAGAUGCAUCAGGAGAGGUGGUGGAGGAAGCUUCCGGAAGAGGAGGGCCAAAACCCUAAGGGGGUGCCGACUGGCGCUAGGGUGGGCCGGUCGGCCCCACCUGGCAGCCGCUAGGCCCCCCGUUGCUUCAGGUGCCUUCUCAAUCCUUGUCGAGUCUUCUCACAACGUUUCUCAUGGUGGAUAAAUUUCGUGUUUAUUUUGCACUAGAGUCCCUCUUUGCAGCUUUCCUGAAAUUCACCCUGGAAAAUACAGAAUAUACAAAACUCGUGGAAAUUGUCAGAUAAAACCCAAGACUACUGUGUUUUCAUGUUUUCCUUUAGGUCUAAAGUUAUAAUAAAAGUUGACAUUAUCGACCGUCAACAGGAAGCUGGAAUAGUCCUUGCUGAUACCCUUUAUUAACUAUGCUUUGCAACAAAUCUGCUCCAAGGGCAAUGUUGGCACACUUUAAGAAGGAGGUGGAGUUUGAAGGGUAGAGAGAGGUUUGGGCUCUUGGGAAAAUGAAACGCACUUUUUCUAUUGCGCCGGUGGAAAAUUUGGAGAAAUCAUGAGAGUGUUUUCACUAGAAAAACACGCACUGGACACUGGCCGUAGAGGCAUCGGACGCUGGCCCAGUGUCCGGUGUAUAGUGGCUGAGCAGCGCAUUGUUGAACUGCACAUUAGAGUGUCCGACGGGUGAGCGUUAGACAUGGGCUAAACACUGUUCCCGCAUCUGGUGAGUAGUGACAUCAGCGACCAAAUGAGCGAGCAACCCUAGCUAUGCGUGUCGGACGCCAAAGAGCGUCCUAUGAGGACGCAUUAGAUGUGUCUAAUGCCCGUGUGGUUUAUAGAGCUCCUUGAGUAGCGUUUGGUGCUGAGGGGCACGUCUAGUAUGUUUCACCUCACAUGUCCGACGUGUUGUCUCUGACAAUUUGAACAUUUAAGUGACCGUUGGGGAUCAACAGGUCAUAUUUGAUAGAGGACAUGUGGCGCAAUCUAAGGCACCUAUUAGGGGACUGUUGGACGCUGAGGCCACGUCCGACGCCCUACGUCGGAGCAUCUUACGCCCUCCAUUGUGAUUGUUCAUUGGAUUUCUCCUGGUGAUUGGACCUCAUAUUAUUGUGAUUGGUUUAUCCUCUCUACGUGGCAGUAUAAAGAUCAAAUCCUCUUAUUUACUUUCUUGCAAACAAACUAGAGUAGCUUACUUGUAUAGAAACUUUAGGUAGCUCUCUAGUGUAAGUAGAGACAUAGUUCUUUGUGUGCCUAGUGACAAUAGCAACUAGAAUUAUUGGUUAGGUGGCUUGCAAAUACCUCUUUAGAGCUAGAGCAAAAGGCUUUGCUUUGUUAUUUACUAACCUCUUGCUCUAGUGAGUUUCAAGAAUUCUUAAAUAGGCUAUUCACCCCCUCUAGCCAUAUUAGGACAUUUCACUCAUCAGUAGCUUAAGCUCUCUCCUUUCCCCUUCCCAUCGCCAUUCUUGUUUUAACAGUCGGUCCUCGUGCUGUGAUUUCUCACUACCAUGGAGAAGUCGGCCCCCUGGUUCAUCAUCACCAUAGAGUCAGAUGUUGCUACCGACAUCGCUAGAUUCCCCCUCCACUGCCACCAUGCCACUGCAACUGCACGCCCACACUGAUUUUGUCUUAAAGACGGCAGUAAUGCCUCGCUAGUAAGCCACCAAAGCCCCAAGGCCUCAGCUUUCUCUCCCUUCUGCUGAUCUUGUUGUUGUUCUUACUAAGGCCAGCCUUCGCACUGUUGUCUUUCACAAUCACAGGGGAACGUGACCUUGUUGCACUAUCACUGAAGCCAUGCCUAGCAAGCAGAAGCCAACCAAGAGAGGCAUCAGCAAGCCCACUAUGCCCCACUAGCAAGGUCAAAUCUUCUAGAUCCCUGUCAAUAUUGUCUUGGCGUCGAUAGAAACCUUUAUUUUGAUGUCAUCUAUCAAUGUUUGUACAUGUUGUAUGAUCAUCUAUCCUUGUUCACGUUUAUCACUUGUCUUUAUAAUGGCCAUCUAUCUAUCUAUCUAUAUGUAUCAAUGUCCAUUUAUGCCUGUGUUGUGCCUUCAUGUCGGUCUAUCCAUUUCUAUCUCUUUGGUUGCUAUGGAAAUGUGCUACUCGUGUUGUCGUUGUUCUUGUGUUAUUUGCCUGAGGACCAAGCCUUUGAGCCAAGUGGGGAACUGGUAGCACGUUUGAUCAUUUUGAUCAUGGGUUUGGCCUGCCAUGAUUGUGAUGUUGAGCAUAACUCGAUUCCCCGUGAUUAGUUGACUCUAUUGCGCUCUGGUCAUUAGCUCCUGUUCCCGUCCCUCAGACGUGGCCAUCAUGGACUCAAAGUCAUUAUCAAUGUGGUUCUUACCCGCACACUCGAGACCUAAGUGACCUAUCUAGUGGGAUACGAAUUAGGGGACAACCUUCAUGGAACCGUCGGAUGCCAACUCGUUGGGUUUAACUCAUGGCUGCUGUUGACGGUCCUUAAUUACUAAAAUAAAUAAUCAAAUAAACAUGAAAAAGGAUCAAUAUGAAACAAACAUCUAGAAUUAGGGUUUUAUCUGACAGAAUUUCACGAGUUUUGGUGUUUAUCUAUUUCUGCAGGGGUUUAUCAGAGAAUAUGGAGAGAAGGCCCACAUGUCAUGUUUACAACGAGAUAAUUACGUGCCGCGCAAUUUUCCUCAAUCUAGAAGAAUCCAGAAGCCACGGGAACGAACGAGAAGGGAUUCGGGCUCGGGGGCAGGGCGGCCGCCCACCCCCCUUGGGCGCCCACCCAAGGUAGAAGUCCAAUCAGGACUCUGCUUCGGGACUACGCUCCACCGACCUAAAGGAUCAAUCUAAACCAUACAAUCUAUGUCGGUUUGAUCCAAUGGCUCACGUUCCCUUGAGGGGACUAUAAAACCAGACCCCCUAGCCCCUGGAGGAGAAGAGGAGAAAUCAUUAUUCAGAGGUAGCCAUCAAAGUUAGGGUUUAGAGCUUCUCUCCCACAGAGAAUUAGAAUUAGCUACUCCCUAAUCCUUCAAGUUUAGAGGUUGAUUAGAUAGCAAUUAGAGAAGUAGAGCACUACGCUCUGGAUUCGGAUCUUCGGUAAUAAAGAUUGGUAUUAUUCAUAUCUUUCUCUAAUUCUAUUGUUCUAAUUGCAUUAUGUCUCUAAUUAUUAUGUUCCUAGUUUGCUCUAGUUCUAUAUUUGAUAUAGGUCUAAUUGAUAAUGAGUUUAUGUAUAAGUUUGCAAAGCGCUUAGCUCUUGACGCGAGGGAGUUAGGUGAUAGAUCACAUGUGAGCGUGGUGCUUAGAUGUUAUUUAUCUGCAAAUGUAUCCUAUUGGCCGGGUCGUGUGGUAGUUCGCGAUAGUGACAGCUUCGUUGAUUCUUAUAUAGUCCACCCUCCGUUGAUAGGACAGGCAGAACCGGUAUUGUGGAGUAAGUCAUGCGAUGCUCUGAUUUACUUUAUCAAUGUUCCUUAUACAUGAAUGAAGAGUCUUUUAUGCUAUAUAUGAUCUUGUAGAUAACUAGAGUACAUUAUGACUUAGUAGUUAGUAGAUAACUUAGAAUCCAUUCUCUAGCUAAUCCGACAUCACCUACAUAUAUGAGGAGUAGUCUAUUUUCUAAUCGCUGUGUUAUCUACCCAUGAACUUAUAAUUCAUUAUCAUUAUCUUUAUGGUUUACCCCCUGCUAAAGUAUGUGACUGUGUUACGAGUUUCUCAUUAGUAAUCAUGUUCUUGCAAGUUUAUCUCUAGUCUAUGCCUUGAUAGAUUUUGCUCUUUGAUUUAAUUUUAUCUUCUUGAGAUCCCUUGAGCAAAAUUAUAAAUAACGAUACCUGGAAUACUUAUCCUGGUGAAAUGCUACAAUGAGGUGUUUUAUCUGUGCGCUUGUGGAUAGAAUAGAUUAUUUUCUAGAGAGCCUUUACAUUUAUAAAUACCUUUGUACACUCUGGCGCCAUGCUAGGGAUGACAACCUAGUAUCUAAGUGGUGUUAGCUAGUGUCAACAAGCAUUUCUGGCGCCGUUGCCGGAUACGAGUCUCAGGAAUAAGUCAUAAAAGGGAACAAAAGGGUAAUGCCUAGGAAAGCCAGAAAAUCAGUCAAGGUUAUUCAUAUAAAAUAUUAGACUAGACUAUAGAGAAAUAAUUGCAUAAAAACAGCUACUAAGUGAGAAAUCAUAACAAGGCACCUCUGCUUUGGCAGGUUCACCCUGUUGUUUUUCUAUGUUUAUAUUUUUAUACAGGGUAUAACAGGAUUGACUUUGGGUACAUUCAACUCUUCAUCAUUAGAACCAAAGCAAUCAAGAGAAGAAGAAGCUAGCUACCAAUUGCUGAAGCUAUGGCACAAAAGACCUUGCAAGAAUUCUCUGCUCCAAGUCAUGACAACAUUCCAACCGGUCCAAGAUUUGCAGUAGAAGAAGGAAUACCCAAGUUUGAGCUCAAGUCAAGCCUCAUCAAUUUGGUGCAAGCUACACAAUUCAGUGGAAAGGCACAUGAAGAUGCUAGGGCACACUUACAGAAUUUCUUAGGGAUUGGAAGCACAAUCCACAUCAACGGAGUUGACAAAGACGUCACACUACUUCGUCUUUUUCCAUUCUCACUAGAAGGAAAAGCGAGGAAGUGGUUCUACACUCAUCAAGAUAAUAUAAACAACUGGACGAACUUGUCAGAUGCCUUUCUAUCAAAGUUUUUCCCUAUAGGCAAAACAACUGCCUUAAGAGGAAAUAUUGUCAGUUUCCAACAACAGAAGACAGAAGCCAUUUUAGAAGCAUGGGAGCAUUUUCAAGGAUACAUAUCAGAUUGUCCUCACCAUGGAAUGGCCACAUGGUUACUUAUGCAGACCUUCUACCAUGGAUUAACCCAGAAGGCUCGUGAGUGCCUAGAUGCAUCUGCUAAAGGAUCAUUCUUGGAGCUUACAACUGGAAAAGCAGAGAUACUUUUGGAUAAGAUAGCAGAAAACCAAAGCUGGUUCCAAGAUAAAGCUCAACAAUGUCAUCAAACUGAAGAAAUACCGGAAGAAGUAAAUGCAUUAUCAACUAAGAUGGAAAAUUUGCUCCAUUGGAUUGACCAGAGGGCCAAGUUCAAAGAAGAUCAAAGGGCCAUUGAGACAGCAUACAAAUAUCAACCAACUUCGAGUCAACCCAAUAGCAAAGGUAUGAAUUCAGGUAAUACUGUCAAACAACUUUCAUUAAAAGAGAUAAUUGCUUAACAAACCAAAAUUAAUGAUGAAGUUAAACAAAGGCUAGAUACAAAUGAAUCAUCUCUAAAAGAUACAUACAAUAAAAUGGAUUUUCUACUAACUGCCUUUGAUGAGCAAAACACUCUUAAUAAAAGGGUAGAGCUUAAAUUAAUAAAAUUAGCUGCUGCACUGCCUGUUGCUACUAACCUUGAGUAGGUAAAGAAUAUAACUACUAGAGGAGGCAAAGCUACCAGAGAUCCACUAUACCCAAAAGAGAAACAAAGAACAUUAGCACCAGUGCAACCAGCAGUGAUAGAAGAAGAAAGCCCAGUUGGAGCAGAAGAUCUGCCACAACCACCAAGAACUGGAGAAAUGAGGAAAGAUUUUUACAACACCAACUAUUUGCCAUUUCCCAGAAGAAACAGAGGACUGCAGUCGGAUGAGCAGUUUGGUAAGUUUGUAGAGGUCAUUCAGAAAUUAUAUGUCAACAUACCUCUGCUCGAUGCCAUACAUGUACCUACAUAUGCAAAGUACAUCAGAGAUAUUCUUAACAAGAAGAGGCCACUGCCCACCACUGAGGUUAUCAAGCUGACAGAAGAAUGUAGUGCGGCCAUCCUCAAUAAACCACCAAAGAAGAAGGAAGAUCCUGGAUGUCCCACUAUUGAUUGCUCGAUCGGAAACCAACACUUCAACAAUGCACUUUGUGAUCUCGGAGCAAGUGUCAGUGUGAUGCCAGCAUCAGUCUACAAAAAGCUUGAUCAUGCAGCUUUAGAACCAACAUCAAUGUGUCUACAACUAGCGGAUCAAUCGGUUCGACACCCGUUGGGCAUCGCCGAGAACAUUCCAGUCAAUAUCAGAGAUUUCCUUGUGCCAGUAGACUUCGUAGUACUGGACAUGAGUCCUGACUCAAAAGUGUCCAUCAUCCUUGGAAGGCCAUUUCUGAGCACUGCCAAUGCCCACAUUGAUGUCGGGAAGGGAGAAAUCAAGUUCAACAUAAACGGUCAAGAAGAACACUUCACAUUCAAACCCAGACCAGAGAAAGACUCUACAGUGAAGGAAGUUCAUAAAGAACCACUGGAGACACCAUCUCCAGAGGAAGGUAACUCAGAAGAUUAAAAGAUUUGGAGGUCCAGCUUGGGGGACCCAAAAAUCCCAAACCCUCACCGGGAGGUAAAUCGGUAAUUAUCCGCAUUAUUAAUUUUCUCAUAUUUAAAUUCUUGCAUAAUUAAAUCUUGCAUUAGUCAUAUUUAUUCAUAGCAUUAUUAUAAUAAUGAAAAGCCCCAUAUAAAUAAUAUUCAUGGUGUGUAACAACCCAUAUUUAUUAAUUAUUGUGGAGGCACAAAAAUAUUUUCCAUUAUCAUUUUAAUUAAGUUUUAAUAGAGUUUCCUGCAUUAUAUUUAAUUAUAUUAAUCUUCUAGAAGCAUGACCCACACUCCUUGGGUCCCACAUGUCAUACACCACACCUCACAUACAUCCCAUCACAUAAUUUCUGUGGGGGUAUAAACCCCUAUACCCUCAUGGGCCUAUAUGGGCCGCACCAUCAGAGGUGGCUCGGCCCACAAGAUGAAGACGUGCGGCGCACGACUAGUCGACGUGCACCGCAAGGCUACAAGAUUUUAUACCAAAUAGGAUACUUUGCUUGUAACUCUGUCCCUUCAGGAUAUAUAAGGAGAGGCAGGGGUCCCCUAGAGGACAGAUCAUACAUCAUAUUCUCUCAGCACAAAUCAAUACAACCAGACGCAGGACGUAGGUAUUACGCCAACUCGGCGGCCGAACCUGGAUAAAAAGCUUGUCCGUGUCUUGCGUCACCAUCGCGUUCGUAGUUUGCACACCGUCUACCGAUAAACUACUACCGUGGGUAUACCCCAAGGUAGACUGCCGACUAGCUUUCGUCGACAGUGGCGCGCCAGGUAGGGGGUGUGCGUACAACUUCUCCGACGAACGAGAUGGUCAUCAUCCCCGACUUCGUGGCCAUGGCGGGCGACUUCACGUUCACCGUCAGCUUCAACAGCUUCACCGCCAUGACCGCGGAGGAGGUGUAGAUCCGAUCUGUGCCAACCACUUCUUCAUCGACGUCGGCGGCGGCUUCAACCACGCUGGCUACGACUCCAACUACUCCAGCAACGUCUCCGACCACGCCGACAACGCGUCACCUGCUUCCCUGCUACAAAGGAAGGCAGAUCGACGACAUCGACCUGCUCGGGCUAUCGACCAAGUUUUUUGGCCUACUUGCUCUGACCACCUGUCGCAAUAAUAAUCGCCGCGAAGAACGGCGCUACGACAGCCGCGACCACCAUCACGACAACAAGUCAAGCAACUCUCCCGACCAGACUUUCGUCCAAAGAUAAGUACAAUUCUAAUAUUUUAUUUAUUUUUGGCAUAAUAUUUUUAAGAUUAUUAUUCUUAACAACUUUUUAGCCGACUAGUUUUUUCUCCUACACGAGCUUUCCAGAGCCGGUACUGUCUCCGACUCCUCCCUACACGUGCACGAGAUCCGCCCUCUGCGUUCCGGGUGGUCGGCAGUAGCUCUCUGACGUGGCUGACAAUCCUACGCGUGCCUAGGUUCCGCACCUCAUGCUGAUUGUUGGCUAGAUCAGAGCUGGUACAAGCUCUAGGAUGAAUUAACUACUCGUGCUAAUUUUAUAACAAAAAAUCUAAAACUUAUCUUAGUACUGAUUUUUUAUCUAGAGUUUAUUUAUACAUCAUAUACUACCUAUUCUUUAUAUUUAUUUUUCAGAAGUUUGGCCCAGUCGACAAGCUACGCUUGGAGACUCGUCGACUAUUCCCUACGCUGUGUCCGGGGACUGCUCCGACCACCGAGCACGUUUACGUUCCCAACCACGCUCGAAGACUUGUCGACUACUCUCUAUGCUGUGCUCGAAGACUGUGCCGACCACCGAGCACGUUUACGUUCCCAACCACGCUCGGGGACUUGUCCACCGGUCCCUACGCCGUGCUCGGGGACUGUGCCGACCACCGAGCACUAUACGCUCGGCGACUGUUCGAUCAGCUCACCAAUUUGAGAGUUUUUGGACUGUACCGACCACCGAGCACUACACGCUCGGGGACUGGUCGACCAGCCCACCAAUUUGAGAAUUCGGGGACUGUACCGACCACCGAGCGUUAUAUACUCGGGGACUGGUCGAUUAGUCUAUUCAAUUGCAGACGGACUGGUAAAUUCAAUUUUUUAGACCUUGCUACAAGGCUCAUACUUCGCCUUCCAGCAAGCUCGGGGACUACAUCGGUACGAUGCAUCUGGCGAUGCAUCUCAGUUUCAGAAUUUCUUUGAGGACUUUUCUUUUGACCCUGGCACCACGUGCCUACGUCACCUACUACUAGGCUCGGGGACUAAGUGGGCACACUUCGCCUUGCGGUGAAUAUGCUUGCUUUUUUGAGGACUAUACUUUUCAGAAAAGUAAAGUGGACACACUUCACCAGGAAAGAAAUUUUUUUUAAUUUAGAGCACCAUGCAUUCUUCAAACAACCUGCUUCUUCGAUGUCAAUGUUGAUCAACUGUCUUGGUCAAAAUACCGUUGCAACUGUUUGGGCGACUUUCCUGCUUAUUGAAGACGUCAAGCCUCACUGAUCGAAGAAGCUCAAGAUGGCGUGUUACAUCAUAAUACAUGGUGCUCGGGGACUAGCUGUGGGGGUAUAAACCCCUAUACCCUCAUGGGCCUAUAUGGGCCGCACCAUCAGAGGUGGCUCGGCCCACAAGAUGAAGACGUGCGGCGCACGACUAGUCGACGUGCACCGCAAGGCUACAAGAUUUUAUACCAAAUAGGAUACUUUGCUUGUAACUCUGUCCCUUCAGGAUAUAUAAGGAGAGGCAGGGGUCCCCUAGAGGACAGAUCAUACAUCAUAUUCUCUCAGCACAAAUCAAUACAACCAGACGCAGGACGUAGGUAUUACGCCAACUCGGCGGCCGAACCUGGAUAAAAAGCUUGUCCGUGUCUUGCGUCACCAUCGCGUUCGUAGUUUGCGCACCGUCUACCGAUAAACUACUACCGUGGGUAUACCCCAAGGUAGACUGCCGACUAGCUUUCGUCGACAAUUUCAUCCACCAAUAUGUUUCCACUCACGUGACAUCUUUCCACCGACCAACCACCACCAACACAACAUUAUUCUGCGUGAGAUCAAAGCAAGGAAGCAAGUGGAGGAGGCACACUCAGGAUGGACACCAGGAGUGGGUGCCCACCUACCUACCAAGGGCGCCCGCCCUGCUCCCUCUUCCUCCUAUAAAUAGCCACCUUCUACCUCCAUCUUCUUCACACAAGCACUCCAGAAAACCACACAAGUAUCAGUUUCCCGAGAAGGAGUUCUUGUAGUGAAGAGAGAAGAGAGUAGAAAGAAAGAGAAGAGUGGGAAAGAAGUUGAUAGAGAGUGAGUGUCACCUAGUAAGUAGUUGUCUAAACAGAAGUAAAAGUUGUUUAGGGGGAGGCUCUACCAAAAUAGAAAUUUGUCUUGAACGAUUAACCCCUAGACUACUGACACUCCGGACAGCUGACCACUAACAUUUUCUCUCACAAUUUUCCACUAGUUGUGUUUUUUUUCCAACUUUUGUUUGCAGGAUGUUUAAGAAGGUGAAGAAUGCAGGAAAGGCUAUCAAGAACCUUGGUACAAGGAGUUCAUCCCGACACUCCUCACAGCCAUCAGAGAUGAGCGUCGACCCGACACCCACACAAGCUCCAUCAUCUUCAUCAGGUCAGCAAGUUAAGGUCCUUCUCAAGAUAGGAGACCUUGGACUGAAGACUCGAAGAGAGAAGGAAGUCUAUCAGCAGUUGAAGAACAAAGAUUUCAUUCACACUCCUACUAUCGAUCCAAUCUUACUACAAGAAACAGGUAUGGACAUUGAAUUUGACUUAAUUUUCCAGAUGUUAGGUUGGAUAAAUUUUUGGAAUAUAACUGAGCUGGGUUCUCAUCUUCUCACCCUCGAAUUUCUUUGCACUUUACAAUACUAUGAGGGGGGAAUUGUUUUUCGGAUGUUCAAACAGGAAAUUAUGUUGUCUUGGAGAGAGCUGAGCGACCAUCUUGGUUUCUCUUCAAGAUGCAUCCUGAACAUUGACUCCGAUUUACCCAAUUUUGAGAGACAUCAGUUUUGGAGAGAAAUAUCUAGAGAUAAUUUUUAUAGUCAAGCCCGAACUAGUGACAUGGAACACCCCACUCUUAGGAUGUUCCACAAAUGGCUUGGGUACAAUCUUUUCUAUCGUGAUGAUAUUAGGAAAGUAAGAGUAGGAGAUUUACAACUUUUAUAUGCUGCUAUUAGUAAAGUACCUACUUCACCUGUUACACUAUUAGUUUCACAUUGGCUUAGUAUACCUAGUCUUCAGGGACCAGUAGGAUGUACUUCACUUAUCACUCGUCUAGCUUCUAAUCUUCACUUACUAGAAAACUCGUCAUUGGACUUCAUAGAUGAGUUAAGAAUUUAUCAUGGCUAUGACACAUUUAGACAAGCUUGGAUGUUAAAGAAAGAAGGAAAUAUAAUGUAUAUGCUAUAUGAUGAUAGAGGCAAGAUUCGGUUACCUAACCCGAACCUUGGCCUCUACGUUGUGCAAAACUUUUUGAUUGAGAUUACAGCAACACCAGUGAACCAGAGAACUCCACAGCGAGUGGCUUCCGAAAGGAUAACCACUCACCGAGAACGCACCUAGUAUGGAACUGACCCCGGACCAGAAGAAGCAGCGCACCUGCAUUAUUGCGAUUACAACCCCCGAGUCCUUCGAGACCCAUGGGUUCGACAUGCGCAACCACAAGAGCCAACAGAGGAGACAUGGCCGGAGAGCCAAGAUCACCAGUGGACAAACCCGCCUUUCCAUACGAGAAGGUACUCCACUGAUCCAUACGGAGCUUCAGGAUCCAGACCUCCGCCCCAAUUUGAUGCAGGACGAUACUCCGACGCCUCCUACGCUUUCACGAAUGACUACUAUCAAGAGGCCGGUGCUUUCUUCACUCGUACCGACAACACCCUCCUCGACAUCCAGAACACGCAAGCAGAACAUGGAAGACUCUUGGAAGAACAACAAAAAUGGAACCAGGACCACGCAGCUGCAGUAGAAGAGCUGAGACAAGAUACAACAACAAUGAACGACAACAUUACAACCAUGAUGCGGUUCUGGAACAUCGGGUAAGACUGACGGCAACAUCCAGCUUGGGGGAGUUCCUCCCAAAUUUAUCAAGUAAGUUUUUAUUUGCUCUUCUUAUUUAUUCUAUUCUGUCUUAGUAUUUAAUUUAUCUUAAAAGGAAAAACUUAGAAAACCAAAUAAAUAUUUUCUUGCUUUAAUUCACUGCACUUUAAUAAACAUGAAAACAAAAUAAAAAUAGUGUGUAGAUAAGUGUGCUUUAUUUUCCUGCUAAGUUUAAUCUCUAGAAAAAUAAAAAGACUAAAAAGAUGCAUGAUAGAAAUGAUGAACAAGUUGCUCUGUUUGCUUACUUACAAGUACCUAGCUUUUAUAUUAGAGAUCUUCCAGGAAUUACUAAAACUAAAAUUACUAUCUUUGGGAAGCAUAAAACUAAAGUCUAGGUAAGAGAAAUGCAUGAUAUAAAGUUGAGCUACUAUUUAUCUUGUUCCUACUACACUAAGUUUUGGAGAUUUAUUUUAAAAACUUACAAAUCACAUGAUGAGUUCCUAGCAUAACAAAACUACCUACCACAGCCAUAUUUGCUAUAACAUCUUUUACUAUAUUCACAUUGAGUUUGAUCGAGCUGUGUAGACCCUUAGGAGCUUUUCAUGUGGUUAAAUUAAGAUAUUCACUUGCACACAUCUACCACAGCAUCCAUCACCAAUCAUUAAAAUUGCUAAAAAUAUUAUCACUCACUGUCCCGAAUAUUGUUAUUCUCUCUCUAAAAAGAUUCAAUGCAGAAGAGGCAUGGGUUAUGCAAAAAUAUGCGAGGAAAUAAAAAGGGGCAAGUGCCUGGAACCUCGAUAAAGAAAGAAAAAAAAGUGAGACGAGAGAUAAAAAUGGACAAGUGUCCGAAGUAAAAUUAGGGGUACAAAGAUGCCCACUUGAGUGGAAAAAAUGGACAAGUGUCCGACAGUAGAAUUAGGGGUAUCUACUACCCACCUGAAAAAAAAGAGAAAACAAAGAAAGAAAAGAUAGCCCAUGUUUCCCAAAAGCAAAGAUCAAAGAAGAGGAGAGAUAGCAAUAUGAGGAGCAAUGAGAACUAAGUUUUAUUAACACUUAUACAUUUUCACCAUCACUAUCGUUUACUCCACCACACAUGCACAUCUUGAUUUAAUUAUAUGCUGAGUUCCUUUUGGAUCCAUGGCUCGAUUAGACAAUAUAUGUAUGAGCUGUUUUUUUUACUCCUAUGAGCUCCACUUAAAUAUUCCAUUAGCUAUAGGUAAGUGACAUUAUGGUAAGGAUCCACAAAUACCACAUAUAGAGAGACUUGAGAGAAUCAUUGCUGGGAACUCUGAGUUUUAUUUUGAAAACUUAUGAAAAACUCUGGAACAAAGGUGAAGUAUAAACAGGAGGGAUAGUGCUUGACUUAACUAUUUUGUCUUUCGAUUACUUAAGACUUAAGUGCAGGUUCUAAACUCCAUAACACUUCACUCUAAUCUGGAAGAAUUUUAUGUAAAAGCAUGUGUGCCUGUCAGGAAAGAAAACAUCGAAGCAACUCCUGAUCCGUCUGAGUUUAGCUGUUUGCUCAGGGACGAGCAAAGGGUAAGCUUGGGGGAGUUUGUUGACGGUCCUUAAGUACUAAAAUUAAUAAUCAAAUAAACAUGAAAAAGGAUCAAUAUGAAACAAACAUCUAGAAUUAGGGUUUUAUCUGACAGAAUUCCACGAGUUUUGGUGUUUAUCUAUUUCUGCAGGGGUUUAUCAGAGAAUAUGGAGAGAAGGCCCACAUGUCAUGUUUACAAUGACAUAAUUACGUGCCGCACAAUUUUCCUCAAUCAAGAAGAAUCCAGAAGCCACGGGAACGAACGAGAAGGGAUUCGGGCUCGGGGGCAGGGCGGCCGCCCACCCCCCUUGGGCGCCCGCCCAGGGUAGAAGUCCAAUCAGGACUCUGCUUCGGGACUACGCUCCACCGACCUAAAGGAUCAAUCUAAACCAUACAAUCUAUGUCGAUUUGAUCCAAUGGCUCACGUUCACUUGAGGGGACUAUAAAACCAGACCCCCUAGCCCCUGGAGGAGAAGAGAAGAAAUCAUUAUUCAGAGGUAGCCAUCAAAGUUAGGGUUUAGAGCUUCUCUCCCACAGAGAAUUAGAAUUAGCUACUCCCUAAUCCUUCAAGUUUAGAGGUUGAUUAGAUAGCAAUUAGAGAAGUAGAGCACUACGCUCUGGAUUCGGAUCUUCGGUAAUAAAGAUUGGUAUUAUUCAUAUCUUUCUCUAGUUCUAUUGUUCUAAUUGCAUUAUGUCUCUAAUUAUUAUGUUCUUAGUUUGCGCUAGUUCUAUAUUUGAUAUAGUUCUAAUUGAUAAUAAGUUUAUGUAUAAGUUUGCAAAGCGCUUAGCUCUUGACGCGAGGGAGUUAGGUGAUAGAUCACAUGUGAGCAUGGUGCUUAGAUGUUAUUUAUCUGCAAAUGUAUCCUAUUGGCCGGGUCGUGUGGUAGUUCGCGAUAGUGACAGCUUCGUUGAUUCUUAUAUAGUCCACCCUCCGUUGAUAGGACAGGCAGAACCGGUAUUGUGGAGUAAGUCAUGCGAUGCUCUGAUUUACUUUAUCAAUGUUCCUUAUACAUGAAUGAAGAGUCUUUUAUGCUAUAUAUGAUCUUGUAGAUAACUAGAGUAGAUUAUGACUUAGUAGUUAGUAGAUAACUUAGAAUCCAUUCUCUAGCUAAUCCGACAUCACCUACAUAUAUGAGGAGUAGUCUAUUUUCUAAUUGCUGUGUUAUCUACCCAUGAACUUAUAAUUCAUUAUCAUUAUCUUUAUGGUUUACCCCCUGCUAAAGUAUGUGACUGUGUGACGAGUUUCUCAUUAGUAAUCAUGUUCUUGCAAGUUUAUCUCUAGUCUAUGCCUUGAUAGAUUUUGCCCUUUGAUUUAAUUUCAUCUUCUUGAGAUCCCUUGAGCAAAAUUCUAAAUAACGAUACCUGGAAUACUUAUCCUGGUGAAAUGCUACAAUGAGGUGUUUUAUCUGUGCGCUUGCAGAUAGAAUAGAUUAUUUUCUAGAGAGCCUUUACAUUUAUAAAUACCUUUGUACACUCUGGCGCCAUGCUAGGGAUGACAACCUAGUAUCUAAGUGGUGUUAGCUAGUGUCAACAGCUGCAAGCCCCAUGGUCAUCGGGCUUAACCCAUUUUCUCAUAUGUUUAUCCUAACCACCUCAUAUACUUGUACCACUUCAACCAUAGCAUUCCCUCAGACCUAGCGGUGACAACUGCAUUGCUAUGAGCCUUAGGAAUAGCCUUGUGCUGAUUUAGUUGCACAGUCAUGGUGCCCUACGAGUAGGAUUAGAUCAUAGAAUCAAAUCUCUUUUAUCCAACCGUCAUUCAUUCCAUGAUGGGUUGGUCGAAAGAGUAUGGACUCCAUUCUUCUUCUCUCUUGUUCUCAAUCCCCAUCGAUACAGUAAGAUGUGGGUUGAGCCCCUUUUGCUUGUUUGGUGUUUUGUUUCCAAUCCUACGAUUCCCAUUGUUGCUCUAGCGAGUCGAUCAAUGGAAAGUGAAACUUGUGUCUUCCCCGCCUUUGUGGUUCUUCAUACUUAAACUCUUGUAUGCUUGUACCUAAUCGACCGUAGCAUUUCUUUGGUUCUCAUGGUGACAACCGUACCACUAAGAACCCUAGUGAUGUCUUAGUGCAUUCGGUGCACCCAGGUCGUGGUACCCUACAAGUAGCUUGAGCACUCAUGUUCCUUUUGUGUCACCCUUUCUAAUUCUCCAUCUCUUACCAUGGUGAGUGGAUUGGAAGGACUAGACAACUCUUCCUCUUCUUUCUCUCUUUCAUUUCACCCUUUCUUCACUCUCGUCAAUCAUAAUGGCGUAUGGGUUGAGAGAGAUUGGAGUUUCUCGUGCUUUGCAGUCAUUUUGGUUCUCAUCGAUCUCUAUGAUGCUUGGAUUGAAAGUCCAUAAGCUAUGGUGUUUACUUAGGAUGAGUUAGAUUCUAUGCCAUUGUUACUAAAGCCAUACAGGUUGACAUGAUUGACUCAAAAAGUAUCAGCUAGGCUAAGACUCCAGCAUGUACAUAGUAAACAACCACUCCUGCUUCUUUUAGCCCAGGGAUCGGACAUCCACCGAGAGGGCUAAGUUGUUUCCCCUUUUGUGCUAUUUUAGUGUAGUUGUUCUUUAGUGUUCUGUCACCUCUUUUUGUAGUCUUUCUAGGUCUAGUGGUCUGAUUGUUUCCCUUGUUUAUCGCUUUUGAGGUAGUUGCUUCAGAGUUAGCGUUGAUCGGAUCGAAACUUGUUGAAGGAAGGACAUGCGAAUGGAAGGACCUCAGAUGAGAAUGACUAUAAGUGCACUGAGGAUCUUAGAAGUGUUUCUCAAUAGGUGCCAUGUCCCACCCAACCUCGUAGAACCCUAUUAGACAUGCAAAUAUAGAUGUUAGUGCUUAAUUUUAUGCAAAUGAACUGUGAUAGGUUGCAUGGUAGUUUUGCUUAUGAGCCAUUACCUUGUCGCAACCUACAACCCUUGCACACCCACUGUUAGGUUAGAUGUUGCAUACUAUUUGUUGUUCCUUCUACUACGCAUUAUAUCUAUGAUGUGAUGCAUUGUGGAGGAUUGGAUGUGGGUGGAUAAGGCACGUGGUGCUAAUAACUAGAUAAGGAAUUAAUAAUAGACUUGGGGAGAUAUUGGCGUGUGUAUUGGGUGUGUGGUGAGGGUCGGGUCAACCGAGCAAGAUCUACGAUGAGUCUUGUGACAAGUCUUGCUAGGGGACGCUACCUAGGUGUUCUCCAUGAGAGAUAACUGUGGCAGGUACAUGUGAUAGGGAGAGGUCCUGGAGUGGAGAGUCUUUGUGGGACAAAGCGCUAGGAUGGGAGGUGCUAUUUAGCACAGGGUAAUUAAAUGUCCCAUCGAAAGAGGCAUCAGAUGGCCCCUCAUGAUGACAUCUGAAAGCCCUAGUUUGGUUUUGGAUAAUUGAUGAAACCCAAAGUACUAACCUCUAUGCUAAGUGUGUGUCGAUUUGAUGAGGUUGGUACAUGCCAAGUGAUGGAGCAAGAGAUGAUCAUAGUAUUGAUGGUGAUGACCACAAGAUGAUCAAGUGCUCAACAUGGAAAAGAACAAAGAGAAAAACAAAACCCUAUGGAUAUCAAGGCAAAGGUAUUGCUCAGGGUAUUGUUUUGGUGAUCAAGACACCAUAGAGGGUGUGAUCACGAUUAGGAUAGAUAGUCAUACUAUAAAGAGGGGAAUUCUUUGGCUAAACGGUUAUCAAGUGCCACUAGAUGUCAUUGUUCAUGUGCAUGCAUUUUGAACCUAGUGAGCUAACUUAACUCCUUUGAAGAAAAUGAUUUGUGAAAAUGCUAACACACUUACACAUGUUGGUACACACAUGGUGGUGUUGGCACACUUUAAGAAGGAGGUGGAGUUUCAAAGGUAGAGAAAGAUUUGGGUUUCUUUCUCCCUCUACCAAGCUUGCGAGGCAGGAUUCAACGCUUUUGAGAAAAUGAAAUGCAUAUUUUCUAUUGCACCGGUGGAAAAUUUAGAGAAGUCACGGGAGUUUUUUUAGAAAAACACUCAUCAAUCACUAGACUCAGCAAGCAUCGGACAGUGGCCCAGCGUCUGGUGUACUCACCAUUUAUGGCGCGGGUAAAAACUGUGUGUUGGACUGUUCGACGGGUGAGCGUCGGAUGUGGCUCUGACACUGUUCCCGCAUCUGAUGGAGUGUGACGUCAGGAACUAUGCGAUCGAGUCUCUAUGACUGUGAACAUCGGACACUAGGGAGCAUCCGGUGAGGACGCGUCAGACGCAUCUGAUGCCCUUGCACGUUUGCAAUGUUCCCAGAGUUGCGUCUGAUACUAAGGGGCACGUCCGGUGUGUUGCACCUGAUGCGUCUGAUGUGUUGUGUCUGAGAAUUUGAAUGUUUAGUUGACCGUUGGAGAUCAAUGGGUCACAUUUGACUGAGGACACAUGGCUGUCAUCUUAGCAUCAAACGUUGGGUUUCAGCAUUUGAUGGCUAACCGUCAGAGCAUCCAACGCCCCGAUCCGGGCAAGUUCCGAGAGGCUAACGGCUCUAUUUGUUAAGGGAGCUUAUAAAUAGUUGUUGGCCAGCUUGGGGCUCACUCUUUUGGUAUUCUAGCAUACUUGACAUCAUUGUGAGCCUAAGCAAACACCUUUCACUCAUCUCCUACAUAGAUUAACCAUCUUUGUGAGAUUGGGAGUGAUUCUAAGUGUAUUUGCUUGAGUGAUUGCAUCUAGUGGCACUUGGGAAUCAAUUUAGCUAUGGUUUUCUUAUUACUCUUGGUAGUUGCCACCACCUAGAUGGCUUGGAGCAGUGGAGGAGUAUUGGCACAAGUUGGUGAUUGUUCAUGGCCAUUCCCUGGUGAUUGUAAGGGGUUUUGUAUCUUCUUCGGUGGAGAGCCAAAAGGUAACUCUAGUGGAUUGUUCGUGUCAUUGAGAUACCUCUCUUGUGGGUAGGUUCUUGUGGUGUCCUAGUGAGGACGAGGUUUGUGCUAUACCUCUUAGCCGCUGAACCACCAAGUGUUGGUUGACACAACAGGGACAUAGCAUGCUGGCAAGCAUGUGAACCUCGAGAGAAAAUUGUGUGUCUCCAUUGUGAUUGUUCAUUGGAUUUCUCGCGGUGAUUGGAUUUCAUAUUAUUGUGUUUGGUUUAUCCCCUCUAUGCGGUGGUAUAAAGAUAAAACCCUCUCUUUUACAUUCCCACAAACUAGAGUAGCUUACUUACUUGUAUAGAAACUUUAGGUAGCUCUCUAGUGUAAGUAGAGACAUAGUUCUUAUGUGCCUAGUGAUUAUAGCAACUAGAAUUGUUGAUUAGGUGGCUUGCAAACAUCCCAUUAGAGCGAGAGCAAAAAUAUAUGCUUUGUUAUUUACUAACCUUUUACUCUAGUGAGUUUGUAGAAUUUUUUAGGCUAUUCACCCCCUGUAGCCAUGACCUUUCAAGUGGUAUCGGAGCUGUGGUCACUAUUUUGUAAAGGCUUAACAACCUCAGUACUCAAAUUAUGGCUCAAAUAGUGUUCAACCAUAUUGGGGGCAAGCCGCCAUUCUUUGAUGGCACAAGUUCCUUUGACUAUUGGAAGAGAAAAAUGAAAAUGUACCUUUGAUCAAUCAAUGAUAGAGUGUGGGAAGUCAUGGAGAAUGAUUUUGUGAUCCUUGAUCCUGCCAACCCCACCGACAAUAAGAGAGCCAACAAACAAUGCAAUACCAUGGCACUCAACACAAUCUAUAAUGGCAUUGAUGCAAAGGUGUUUGAACAAGUCAAAGAUCUUAAAGAGGCUAGUGAAGUGUGGACAAGACUAGAGGAAACAUAUGAGGGUACUACAAUGGUAAAAAGUGCCAUGUUAUACAAGCUCAAGGACAAGCUAUCCAACUUCAAGAUGAAGGAUGAUGAGUCAAUCUCAAAGAUGUUCUAUAGGCUCCAAGUAAUCAUUAAUGCUCUCAAAGGCCUUGGUGAGAAAGUAAAGGAUGAGGACUCCAUUCACAAGUUAUUAAUGUACUUGCCCAAGAGGUUCAAGACAUUGAGAACCAUCAUAUUUAGAGGAGGAUUGAAGGAUGUAUCUCCUAAUGAGGUACUUAGAGAUGUCAUGAUCAAAGAUCAAUACAAUGACAAUGAUGAUGAUGAGGUUGUGAAGAAAGAUAAUAAUGACAACAAGAAGAAGAUGAGUGUUGCAUUCAAAGCUAGCUCUUCAUCCAAGAGCAAGAACAAGGGUAAAGCUAAGAAGGAAGAAUCAAGUGAUGCGGAAUGCUCCAAUGAUGAUAGUGAUGAUGAAGCACUAGCACUCUUUGUUCACAAGUUUGGCAAGAAGGUGAAGAAGAAAGGCUAUCAUACAAGGAAGAGAAGAGAUCAUUUCAAGAACAAGGAGUAUGUGAGGCUAUGCUAUAAAUGCAAAAGCCCCAAUCAUGUUGUAGCGGAGUGUCCCUACAAUAGCGAGAAUGAUGGGCAUGAGAAGAAGAACAAGGAAGAGAAGAAAAAACAAAAGAGAAGAAGAUGGUCUUCAAGAAGAAGAAGAAGGGUGGAUCCUAUGUUGUGACAUGGUAUAGUGAUGCUUCUUUGGAUGAUGAUUUUAGUGAUGAUGACAAGGCAUCCAAGAAGAAGAAAGCUCUUGCAAGCAUUGCUAUCAACAAGCCAUUAUUCUUUGACACUCCUUCAUGCUUCAUAGUCAAGGGCCACAAGAUAUAAUAUGAUGAGAGUGAAAGUGAAAAUGAGAAUGAACAUGAUAGUGAUAAUGAAAAUGAAUUCACUAAUGACCAAUUCAUGGACAUGGUCAAGCAAGGCGAUUCUCUUAUUCAUUCUAAAAACAAGAAGUGCAAAGAAUUGGCCAAGAAAUUAAAAGCUUUUGAACAAUCCUUUAAUGAGCUCAAUGCUAAUUAUGAGAGACUAGUGGAUGCCCAUAAAAAGCUAAGCAAGGCUCACACAAAGCUUGAAAAAACUCACUCCUUGUUGUUAGAUGAGAACAAGGAAAAGGUUGUUGUGUCAUGUGAUGUGAGCACAAAAUGUGAUUUAAUUAAGGAAUCACUCAACCCACCUAUUGUUGUUGCCACUAACUCUUCUUGUAGGUAUUCAUCCAUCACCUCCAACUCUACCUCUACUUCUACUGUCGGUGUCACUUGUGAUGCUUCACUAAAGGUUGAGAAUGAGACUCUCAAGAAAGAGGUGAAUGAGCUCACUCACACCCUAGGCAAGGCCUAUGGUAGUGAGCCGGCUUGCUAAAGUGCUUAGGUAUCCAAAGGUUUUCUCUUAACAAAGACGGAUUAGACUACACCCCCAAGAAAGGCAAGACGACCUUUGCAACUCACAAGCCUAGUUUUGUGAAAAGCAAUGGUCGUUAUUGCAAUAGAUACAAGCAAGUUAGGCACCUAGAGCUUAAUUGCAAUAAAAUGAACAAGAAUAAGAAAAAUGCCAAUGUACCUUACAUUCCUUUUGAUUCUUGUUAUGUUCUUACUAAGGGUGAGAAGGGUGUGCAUGCUAAUUUUGUUGGUACACCAAUUAUGGGUUCAAAGAAGAAGGCCAUUUGGGUACUAAAAAGCUUAGUCACUAACCUCUAAGGACCCAAACAAGUAUGGGUACCUAAGAAACAUUAAUUUGUUUUAUAGGUAAACCAUAAAGCCGGACGAAGGCAUUGGAUGCUUGAUAGUGGGUGCACACAACACAUGACUGGUGAUUCAAGAAUGUUCAAUUCAAUCAAAACAAAUGGUGACAAUAGUGUUGAUAGUAUCACAUUUGGUGACAAUGGCAAAGGCAAGGUCAAAGGGCUUUGGAAAAUUGCUAUAUCCAAUGAUUUGAGCAUUUCCAAUGUGCUGCUAGUAGAAACCUUGAACUUCCACUUGCUAUCCGUAGCUCAACUUUGUGAUCUUGGUUUCAAGUGCAUAUUUGGAAUUGAUGAUGUAGAGAUCAUAAGUGUAGAUGGCUCUAACUUGAUCUUCAAAGGCUUUAGAUAUGAGAAUCUAUACUUAGUUGAUUUCAAUACUAGUGAAGCUCCAUUGUCAACAAGCUUGCUUACUAAAUCUAGCAUGGGUUGGUUAUGGUAUAGAAGGCUUGGUCAUAUUGGAAUGAAAGAAUUGAACAAGUUAGUCAAGCAUGAUAUAGUUAGAGGCCUAAAUGAUGUCACAUUUGAGAAAGAUAAGCUUUGUAGUGCAUGUCAAGCUGGAAAGCAAGUUGGCAACACUCAUCCAAAGAAAAGUAUCAUGAGUACAUGUAAGGCAUUUGAGUUGUUGCACAUGGACUUAUUUGGACCAACCACAUACACAAGCAUUGGUGGAAAUAAAUAUAGAUUUGUGAUAGUGGAUGAUUUCACAAGAUACACAUAGGUAUUCUUUCUUAGUGAAAAAAGUGACACUUUUGCAACCUUCAAAUCAUUUGUCAAGAGAAUACACAAUGGAUUUAAAACAACCAUAAAUAAAGUGAGAAGUGCCAACGGAAGUGAACUCAAGAAUACAAGAGUUGAUGAGCUUUGUGAUGAAUUUGGUAUUAGGCAUCAAUUCUCAGCCAAGUAUACUCCACAAUCAAAUGGUCUUGUUGAGAGGAAGAAUAGAACAUUGAUUGACAUGGCAAGAUCAAUGUCGAGUGAGUACAAUGUGAGUCAUUCAUUUUUGGGCCAAAGCAACCAACAUGGCUUGCUAUUAUAGCAACCGACUCUAUUGUCAUCCCAUAAUGGAGAAGACUCCAUAUGAGCACUUGAAUGGAAGAAAGCCCAACAUUGCAUACUUUUGGGUUUUUGGUUAUAAAUGCUACAUAUUGAAGAAAUGCACUAGAUUGAGUAAAUUUGAAAAGAAAUGUGUCGAGGGUAUCAGUAAGGGGUACCCUCACCGAUGCACCUAACAAGAUUAUCCGUACGCAAGUCGAGGCCCUCAACUCGACGUUCUGGUCACACAUGUGCGCAGCAAUCGACGGCUGCAGCCUCGAAGAGGGAAAUGACGUCGAGCGAACCACUUGGGGGUCGAGUGCUGACUACCGUCGAAUACGGAAAUAGGCUCGAGCGAAUCAGAAGGCGUCGAGCGCAAGGACACUGUCCGCCGCCUGACGCGCGCACGAGAGCCGGGACAUUAAAUGCACCUGCCGCUUUUCUCACCUAACACGCUGGUCACGGGGAGCGUGAUAGGGAACAGGCACCCGUCCCGUCGUUCUUUUUGUAGCCUUCCCCACCAAACGGCCCAGGGCGUGUCAGGACGUGGGAAGCGGGGAUGGAACAUCAAAUCAAGACUCCCUCAAGGUAACCAAGGUCAGCGCUCCGAUAUCAGGACAUCGUACGACGUCCGACCCUCGACUUAACAUCGCUCCUUCCUGGGGACGAGACGGGCGUCGACUGGCAACGCCGUGACCACUCUGCCGAAUACGCCGCCGAGUCGUACAAGCAUGCGUCCAUUGAACCAGUCUAAAGACGGCGUAUAGAGCAGGGUACAGGAGCACGCGCAAUCAUCACCAAGCCACUGAGACGGGACGGCUCGAGGCCACGCCGGUACGGAGGCCUCGAGUAGGUUAGCGCUCCAUGCUUCUAUCGACCCCUACUCUGACACCUAUACAUGUACCUUGGGCCUCUCCUUGGUGCUAUAAAAGGGAGGACCCAGAGAUAGAUAACGACCACGACAUAACACCACGCUCAUACGCAGUAGAACUCCACGCUUCAUACCACACUUGUAUUCACCCCUGUACAAGCACUUAGGUGCGAGAUAAUACAAACUCUCCCCCGCUGGACGUAGGGCCUUCUCUUGCCCGAAUCAGGAUAAAUCUUUGUGUCUUCUUGCAUCACCAUCUGGGAAAGGGAGCACGCAUACAAAUUUACUCGUUGGUGUGACCCCCCGUGGGGAAAACACCGACAGUUGGCGCGCCAGGUAGGGGUCCUGCGUGUUUUUUCAUCGGUUUCCCACUCCUUUCCAGAUGGCAGCUCUUGCCUCGCCGAUUCUGCGCUCCACGAUGAUUUGGUUUGGGAGUCUCGAGUUCAUGUCUACGGGCUCCGGCUACGACAUGAUCUUGCUCUCAGUCAAAGGACCGGGAGGAGCCCGCGUUGCACCAGCUCGGUUGAGGGCCCCAAGACGUCCUCGCCACCACGCCUCCCCGCCCAAGAAGAGGCGCGGACAGCACCACCGCCCCCCCUCUGCCUCAUCACGACCGGCAACUCGUGCGAGGUAGGAGGUGGGCUGCGAACCGGCAACACCAUGUGCCGGAACCGCGGGCACGACGACGGCUCAACAUCGCACGACGACGGGAGGGGACGCGUCUCGCGCCCCCCCCCACCGCUACUAAGCUACUUCCACACGGGUGGUUCACUCCAAGAAGGGCACUGCCAUUCGGCUUGGACAACGCCGCGGCGUCGCUCGCCAGAGCAAUAUGCCCAAAUGCUCAGACGUACGUGGAGAGACCAAUGGUCCUCCCAAGUAACUCUGAGACACUACGACCGACGUCCGAACUGCCGGAUUUCUCCCAGGUGCGAGGCCUCCGCCGCCUAGGCCCUGGGCGAUACACGAUCACCUCACUCAGGCAACGGCUGCUGGAGGAGGAACGUGGAUGCUUCUACGCCACCGAGCCAGACUCCGACUCCGAGACUGAUAGCUACGACCCUACGAGGGAAUGCUAUCACGUCGACGGGGCAGUAGAAACUACCGACGAGACGCAGGAUGCUGCAGCGGGCGGUUGAGCCCCUGCAGCACGAGAAGACCCCAGGAUGCCUGGGAACGACGGGCAGGUCGACCCCCCACCACAGGAAGACAAAGCUGCGCAGCUUGCACAGCUACGAGAGCUCAAGAUGAAGCUCGAUGAAGACCGUGAGCGCCUCGUCCUGCUUGAGCAAAUCCUUGAGCAAGACCUGCCGUACCCGCCGGGCGGAAGUGUCCGCAGACGUGCUCGAGAGGUACAUCGACAAAUCGUCGGAGACGUAGAGCCAGAGCAGCCCGUCAGCCGUUUCCCUCGAGCGGGCCAGAAUGUAGUGGCGGCAACGAUGCUACUGCGCAACAUGCCAGAACCAUCGAACUCCCAGGCUCGCCGCAUUCGAGACGAGGUACGAACUCUGCUCCAGGUGGCGGCAGUCCAACAAGCUGAAAGCUCAGCUUCUCGACAACGAGGAGCUGCCACUGAAAAGCGCGACGAGCCGCCUCAAAAUGAAAAGGAGGUGUCAAUCCAUCAACAGCCUCCUCCUCGAGGCAGAAAGACCGCUCUCGUUCUCCCUGUCGACAAUCAGCGUCGACACGACGCGCGGCAUGACAUCGAAGAGAAUCGACGCCGCCGACACGGAGACGCGGAAGAGCGCGGUUACAGCGCACAUCGCGAUGGGAGGUACGACAGCGACGAAGACCGGGUGGCCCCCGAGCCACCGGGGCCACGAGUGUUCAGUAGGGCGAUCCGCAGCACGCCCCUACCCAGUCCAUUCCGACCCCCGACCAGCAUCGCAAAAUACAAUGGAGAGACCAAACCGGAGUUAUGGCUGGCCGAUUUUAGGCUGGCCUAUCAGCUAGGUGGCGCUCGAGGUGAUGAUCGAGCCAUCAUCAGACAGCUACCCCUCUUCCUCUCCGACACCACCCGUCGAUGGCUCGAAGAACUUCCAGCAAAUCAGAUUCACGACUAGGUCGUUUUGUUUAAAGUUUUCGAGGGUAAUUUCAAAGGAACCUACAUACGGCCCGGGAACUCGUGGGACCUCAGCAAAUGCAAGCAGAAGUCAGGAGAAACUCUUCGAGAGUAUGCUCGAUACUUCUCAAAGCAGCGCACUGAGCUGCCACACAUCCCUGACCAUGACGUCAUCCUAGCCUUUGUCUCUGGUACCACCAGUCGAGACUUAGUGCGGGAACUGGGCCGAAAUCGCCCUCAGACCGUCGAUGAGCUGAUGGAUGUAGUGGCAAACUACGCAGCAGGGGAGGAGGCAGUCGGCGCCUUCUUCAGCUGUGAAGGAGGGAAAGGCAAGCGGCCUGUCGAUGAAGAUGGAACCCCCAGUCGAGGUCUCAAGAAAAACAAGAAGAAGCCGAAAGCACGGCAGUUGCAACGGGAAGAUUUCGACAACAACCUUGUCGCCGCCAUGGAGCGAAAGAAGCCUCGAGGCCCUCCAGAUGGGGGUAUCUUUGAUAAGAUGCUAGAGGAACCAUGCCCUUACCAUAAGGGAGGCGCCAACCACAAGCUCAAGGAUUGUCGUAUGCUGAAGAGGCAUUUCGACGGUCUAGGGUUCAAGAGGGAUGAGCGUGACGACUCAAAAAAGGAGAAGGGCGGCGACAAAGAGGGCAACAAGGACGACGACGGCUUCCCCGCCGUCCACGACUGCUACAUGAUCUAUGGUGGGCCUUUGACACAGUUGACCACGAGGCAGCGCAAAAGGGAGCGCCGUGAGGUCUUUGCGGCAAGAAUGGCGGCGCCCCAGUACCUCAGCUGGUCGAGCACCCCCAUCACCUUCGAUCGGGAAGACCAUCCCGACAAGGUAGUCGCCCCAGGCGUCUACCCGCUCGUCGUCGACCCUAUCAUCAUCAACACCAGGCUCUCCAAGGUGCUAAUGGACGGAGGCAGCAGCCUCAACAUCAUCUACCUCGAGACCCUCGACCUCCUUGGCAUCGAAAGAGGACGGCUCCAGCCAAGCGCCGGCGGUUUCCAUGGCGUCGUGCUAGGAAAAAAGGCGUUGCCCGUAGGUCGAAUCGACCUACCGGUCUGCUUUGGCACGGCGGCCAACUUCAGGAAGGAGACCCUCACCUUUGAGGUGGUCGGGUUCCGUGGCACGUACCACGCCAUCAUCGGGCGCCCGGGCUACGCCAAGUUCAUGGCUAUACCCAACUACACCUACUUGAAGCUGAAGAUGCCCGGUCCCAAAGGCGUCAUCACUGUUAGCUCUUCCUUUGAGCACGCUUACGAGUGCGACGUCGAGUGCGUCGAGUAUGGGGAGGCGGUCGAGAACUCCACAGAGAUCUUCACAAAACUCGAAGCCCUGGCCACUGAGGCUCCAGAGCCCAAGCGCCACGCGGGCAACUUCGAGCCAGCAGAGGGAACCAAGAAGAUCCCGCUCGACCCCAACAACUCCGAUGGCAAGGUGCUGACGAUCAGUGCCGACCUCAACCCCAAAUAGGAAGCUGUGCUCAUCGACUUUCUCUGUGCGAACGUCGACAUGUUUGCAUGGAGUCCAUCGGACAUGCCAGGCAUACCGAGGGAAGUCGCCGAGCACUCCUUGGAAAUUCGAGCCGGUUCCAAGCCAGUGAAGCAGCGGUUGUGCCGAUUCGACGAGGAGAAGCGUAAGAUCAUUGGCGAGGAAAUCCACAAGCUUUUGAUGGCCGGAUUCAUCAAGGAGGUUCAUCAUCCCGACUGGUUAGCAAACCCUGUAUUAGUUAAGAAAAAGAAUGGGAAAAUGAGGAUGUGUGUCGAUUACACAAGUCUAAAUAAAGCAUGUCCAAAAGUUCCUUUUCCAUUACCACGUAUUGAUCAGAUUGUCGAUUCUACUGCGGGAUGCGAAACCCUUUCUUUCCUUGAUGCGUAUUCCGGUUACCAUCAAAUAAAAAUGAAAGAGUCCGACCAGCUCGCGACCUCUUUCAUCACACCUUUUGGGAUGUAUUGCUAUGUAACCAUGCCGUUUGGGCUUCGAAACGCGGGCGCUACAUACCAACGCUGCAUGCUCCACGUAUUUGGUGGACACAUAGGGUCGACGGUCGAGGCCUAUGUCGACGACAUUGUCGUCAAGUCAAAAUGGCGAGGGGACCUGAUCCAGGACCUCGAGAUCGCUUUUAGCUGUUUACGCGCCAACCAGAUCAAGCUCAAUCCUGAAAAAUGCGUUUUCGGCGUGCCUCGAGGCAUGCUCUUGGGCUACAUUGUUUCGAAGCGCAGCAUCGAGGCCAACCCCGAGAAAGUCUCGGCCAUCACAAGAAUGGGGCCGAUCCGGGACAUCAAGGGUGUGCAAAGAGUUACGGGAUGCCUGGCGGCUCUCAGCCGUUUCAUCUCAAGACUAGGAGAAAAGGCGUUGCCGUUGUAUCGACUUCUGAAGAAGGCCGAGCGCUUUUCUUGGACCCCCGAGGCCGAGGAAGCGCUCGAAAAGCUGAAGAAGACGCUGACCUCAGCACCAGUCCUGGUCCCACCUCAACCUGCAGAACCGCUGCUCCUCUACGUUGCGUCGACGACCCAGGUCGUCAGCGCAGCAGUGGUGGUCGAAAGGCAGGAGGAGGGACAUGCGCUACCAGUCCAGAGGCCAGUCUAUUUCGUCAGCGAAGUGCUUUCGGAGACCAAGGAACGUUACCCCCAAAUCCAGAAGCUGAUCUACGCCGUAAUCCUUGCCCGCCGUAAGCUGCAACACUACUUUCUCGGCCACCCCAUCACGGUGGUCUCGUCCUUCCCCUUAGGCAAAAUAAUCCAGAGCAAGGAGGCCACGGGAAGAAUAGCUAAAUGGUCGGUUGAGCUCAUGAGGGAGACACUCACUUAUGCGCCUCGCAAGGCUAUCAAGUCGCAGGCCCUGGUAGACUUCGUCGCGGAAUGGACAGACUCCUAGCUUCCCCUAACUCAGGUCCAGGCGGAGCUGUGGAUGAUGUAUUUUGAUGGGUCACUCAUGAAAACAGGAGCCGGGGCCGGCCUACUGUUCAUCUCACCCUUGGGCGUCCAUAUGAGGUAUGUUAUCAGGAUUCAUUUUGCCGCAUCUAACAACGUCGCGGAAUAUGAGGCCCUCGUCAACGGUCUCAAGAUUGCCAUCGAGCUAGGAGUCCGACGCCUCGACGUCCGAGGCGACUCCCAACUCGUCAUCGACCAGGUGAUGAAGACUUCGAGCUACCACGACCCAAAAAUGGAGGCGUACUGCAAAGAAGUUCGUCGACUCGAGGACAAGUUCCAUGGUCUCGAGCUCGUCCAUGUCGCCCGAUGUUACAACGAGGCAGCCGACGAGCUUGCCAAGAUCGCAUUGACUCGAGGCACGGUGCCACCUGAUGCGUUCUCAAGAGAUCUUCACGAGCCAUCCGUCGACUUGGGCUCGGGGGCUGGCGUCGAUGCCGCUCCCGCCCAGCCAACCGACACCGUCGAUGCACUGCUGAUGGCAGCAGAGGUGAUGGAGGUAGAGCAGCGACCCGGUCGACCGUUCGACUGGUGUACACCGUUCCUCGACUGCCUAAUCCGCUGCGAGCUGCCAGAAGAUCGAUCUGAGGCCCGCCGUAUCGCUCGACAGGCCAUGUCAUAUGUGAUUUAUGGCGACGGCAAUGAGCUAUACCGACGAAGCCCGACGAGGGUCUUGCAGCGUUGCAUCACCGUAGAAGAAGGCCAAAAACUCCUUGAGGACAUACACUCGGGGGCUUGCGGCCACCAUGCUGCUCCAUGGACCCUCGUAGGGAACGCCUUUCGACAAGGUUUCUACUGGCCAACGGCCGUGGCAGAUGCCAUCGAGCUUGUACGUUCAUGUCAUGGGUGCCAGUUCUACGCCAAACAGAUGCAUCUGCCCGCCCACGCUCUUCAAAUGAUCCCCAUCACCUGGCCAUUUGCGGUAUGGGGGCUCGAUUUAGUAGGACCUCUACAAAAGGCAAAAGGGGGUUACACCCACUUGCUCGUGGCCGUUGACAAAUUCUCCAAAUGGAUCGAGGCUCGACCCAUCACCAAUAUCCGCUCUGAACAAGCCGUCCUCUUCUUCACCGACAUCAUACACCGAUACGGAAUCCCUAACGUGACCAUCACCGACAACGGCACCCAGUUCACUGGCAAAAAGUUCUUGGACUUCUGCGAUCAGCAUCACAUCCGUGUGAACUGGUCCGCGGUGGCUCACCCUCCAACUAACGGCCAGGUCGAGCGUGCCAACGGCAUGAUCUUGCAAGGGCUCAAACCAAGGAUCUACAAUCGCCUGAAGAAGUUUGGCAAGAAGUGGGUCGAGGAACUUUCCUCGGUCUUAUGGAGUUUGAGGACGACGCCAAGCCGGGCCACCAAAUACACCCCGUUCUUCAUGGUCUAUGGCUCUGAGGCCGUGCUCCCAACGGACCUCGAGUAUGGAUCUCCUCGACUCAAGGCGUACAACGAGCAGUCGAAUAAGGAAGCUCAAGAGAGUGCUGUCGACCAGCUUGAGGAGGCUCGAGACAUGACCCUCCUCAACUCUGCCAGAUACCAGCAGAAGCUUCGACGCUACCACGACAAACACGUACGAAAGAGGGACUUAAACAUGGGUGACCUUGUCCUACGACGACGGCAGAGCAAUCAAGGACGCCACAAGCUGACCCCACCAUGGGAAGGCCCGUACGUGGUGGCCGAGGUCUUGAAGCCAGGAACGUACAGGUUAGCGGACGAGAAGGGGGCGGUCUUCACCAACGCAUGGAACAUCGAACAGCUACGUCGAUUCUACCCCUAGAAGUUCAAAACUUACGUUCCUACGUACAUUUUGUACCAAGACUCUGUAAAACGAAUGCAUGAAUAAAUGAAGUCUUUCCCUCGAGCAACUUCUUUUUGUACUAAGGAGUUACAAGUCAUAAUCUCGAUGUUAGAAGGGGGCGCCGACUAUGACCCAUCAUAGUCAACACCCCCUCGGGGGCUACCAGGGGGACGACCCCCCCCCCCCCGUGCAUCGAAAAAGCCAAGAAAUUUUCUCUUCCUACUUAGUAAACCUUGCACGAUUUGAGUAGCUAAGGCACCUCGAGCCCCUCAAAGGCCGAGGGACAACGAGCCUGAGAACUCCUACGCCCCCGGGCUACGGAAACUCUACUCACUUCCUCACCCUUGAGGCGAUCGAGGUUGUUUUUUACGAAAGACCGAACAAGGAAUACAAACGUAUGAACAAAGAGAAAUAAAAUAACCUCGAGCGGAAAGACAAAUAAGCAUUUAAUAAUUACAAAAAGAUAUUGUAUCGCCUAACAAUACGAUUAACAAAGUAUUAUACAAGGGGCCCUAGGCACCCUGAGCAGGCUCGUAGGCCUCAGUCCGUGGCAUGGUCCUCACCACCCUCGCCUCCGCCCAAGCCAGUCUCAGGAGGAAGAACCUCAGGCUCAAAAAGCUUAGCCAGCCAUUCCCCAGGAGCCUCCGCGUCGUCGAUCAAGGCGUGGAGCCUCUCUUUGUUUUCCGCAUCGGUCUUGGAGAUGUCGGUGAUGAAGCCGUGGGACACCACCUCCAUGUCGUAGGAGAAGCCCGAGCAGACAACCGCCAUCGCCUGCUUCACCCCGAUGUGGACGGCAUCCCGCACCCGAUCUCGCAGCGUUGCGCCUAUGUAGCACAGCUGGUCGACCAGUGCGUCGCCUCGAGCGUCCUCCCUCGACUCAUCCAUAGGCUCAACCUCCCAGGAGGCCGAGAGGUCGCUUAUCGCCGUCCGCACUCCACGGUUCAAAGCAACCUCAGGCUCGAGCUGGGUCUUGGCAUUACGGGCCUCGACUUGGGCGGCUAGGAGUUCGUCCUUAAGCCCUGCAAACGCCAAUACAAGAAACUUUGGGAAAAACUGAGCACACCUCGAAAAAGAAACCCGACAAAGGAAACGUACCGCGGACGCUCUCCUCCAGGGCCGUGUUUUCGCCGACUAAUCUGGUGUUGGCCCUCUCGAUCUCUCUGUUGGAACGGGCCAGCUCAGUGUUGGCAACGCGGAGAUCCUCGAUCACCUUGCCAGCCUGAGCGAUGGCCCCACUCUUCUCCAACAGUUCUCCCUUCAAACGUUCGACGUCGUCAGAGAGCCUGUGGGAUUGAGCCCGCUCCGCCUCGAGAUCUUCGAGGGCCUUCUUCUUGGCUUCCUCCGCGGCGCUCCUGGCGAUCUCGCCGUUCACGUGCUCCACCUUCAUCUUCUGGAAGGACUCUCGAAGGGAGUCUAGGUCGGUCUUGAGAAGGCCCUUCUCCUUGUCCAGGUCCGCAAUAACGUUCUUGUAGGACAGGGCCUCCUCCCGGGCUCUAGAUGCAGCCUCCUCGACCGUCAGAGCCCGCUCCCGCAGCAGCGUCGUCUCCUCCUCCGCCUUCUUUGAGGCCUCUCGAGCCUCUACCAAGGCAACCUCCCUCGCCUUCUUCUCCUCCUUGAGCGCUAUGAGGUCUUUAUAAGCCUUGAGGAGUUUCUCCUGCGACUCGAGGAGUUGAUCCUUGAGGACGGGGAGCUGCUCCCAGCCGCCUCGCGUGGCGUGGAUGAAGCUCGACUUGAUGCGGGAGGUCUCCUUCAUAUCCUGCGAGCCGGCGGACGAACAGUUAGAGCACAAAACCAAAUGGCUCCAUGGAGAUCAAAGAUCGAAAGACACUUACAAAAUAAGCAGGCCCGAGCCCGUUGUUGAUGAUGUCCGACAAGAGCCCCACCACGUGCUUCAUCCAAAGGCGGAGCUCCUCGACAUGUUCCCACUUCUCGGCCUCCUUCUUGUCGUCGAGGAAGAUGUUGGGCUCGGACGGAUCGGUGGAAGCCCGGAUACGAAUCCGAUCGGGGCACCAGUUCUCCAUCUCUCAAUCAGCCCGCGCCUGGACACCGCGGAUAAGGUUCUCGACGGUCUCGAGGGAGCCCCCAUGGCGCAAGAACAGGUCGACAAGGAAUGGGAACCGCCCGUCAUCGUCAACCAUCUUCCAGGUACCGUCCUUGCUCCCUGACGACCCGAUCUCAUCCUCCUCGGAGGGAAAGCGGUCCUCCCACGCUCGACGCUCCCGGAGGAACCCAGGGGCGAUCCCGUCCAUGUCGUAGAUCGUCCUCUUGAUCUCGGACUCGGGGUCGGUGGGGGUGCGCAUCAUACAGGCGAGCGCCACCACUCCAUCCGCUCGCCCCGACUCUGCCCGGAUCACGGCAGGCGCCCCCGGGAGGAGCCACGCCUGGGUGGGAGGGCCGUACACCGGCAAAUCUUCCUCCUGAUCGCCGGACUCUUGCGGCGCCGGUGGUAUCGGUUGGGCCAGACCUUGAGGCAGGGGCUCGAGCGGCCUUUCCUCUUGGCCCCCCUGCUCCUGCUGCUGCUGUUGUUCCCUCUGUUGCUGCUAUUGUUGAAGCCCCUCGGGCGUUUGCUGCUCCUGCUGCUGCUGCUCCUGUGGUGGCCGCGUCGCCUCGCGCUCCCGCUCCUCCCCCUCCUUCUCUUUCUCCUUCUGCUCUUCGAGGGCUCGAAGGCCAGCGGGCCAGGGAGUCCGUCCCGCGAUGUGGGAGGUCGACGUUUCCUCCUCCACAGGGCGGGCACCCCCAGACGCUUUGUUACCAUCAGACGUAUCGCUGAUGGUGAUGGGUUCCCCCUCGACCCCCAAUCGAGGGGGCUCGGGGGCUCCCUCUGGCACUUGCGUCUGGGACGCCUCACCACACGUCGGCGGCGACGGGGUAGGCACGGGACAAGGCGGAGCAUUCUCAACGCCGGCUGGAGGUUGGGAGUCGGAGGAGCCUGCAAAACAAAGAAUAGAGGCCGGUGACUGCUAUGGCUAGCACAAGAACGUCACAAAUCCCAAAAGUAAACCACAAACCUAGCUCCUUGGAGGCGGCUCCCGCUUUGAGCCUCUUUGCCAUGGACGGCUGGGCCUGCUCGAGGGUCCGCUUUAGCCUGAGAAAAGAAAGGGAUGAGCGCCGGAGAAGAUCGGCAUAUGAGAAAGUGCGUAGGAGCAGGAAGACGAAAGCCACAAUGUCGAAAAAGCUUACCCCACAGGGAGAACAGCUCGCCUCCCGCCGCCCCGACCGGCGGGUCUCGAGCCACCCCGCGUCAGAGCCCCAGGCCCCUUGAAGGCUGGCGCUGGCCUUGGCGCGGUAGUUCCCACCUAGCGGGCGCUGGGACUGGCGCUCCUGUGGCUGGCCUCUCCUUUCUCGGAGCCCGCGGCGCGACCGCGAGUCAGUGGCCCCGUCGCCUGGGGCCUAGCAUGACCGCUCUCCCUGGGAGCCGAGGGAGGGCGCGGCGCGACUUGACCAGCCUUGGGUGCAGGAGGGGUAUCGGCCCGAGGACGGUGAGAUCCGCUCGGACCCUCCUUUGGAGUCUCCGUCCGGGGGGCAUCGACGUCGCCUCGAGGCGGACCCUCGAGGAUUCGGUCAAGGCGUGACGCCAUCCCCUCAGAGUCGUCGCUGUCCUCGUCGUCAUCAUCGUCGUCGUUGGGGGAUUCUUCCUCAGGCUCCCCCCUCUGCCUGGAUUUGGCUCGACGCGCCUCUAAUGCUUGGCGGUCAAGGUUCUUCUUCUUCUCCCCCUUCUUUGCAGAGUCCUUGGCGGACUUUAGCUUUUCGGCAGAUUGGCGCCGCUUGUCGCGAUCGACCUCGUCCUCCUUUACUGGAGACCUCGAGGACCGGACAUCAAUCCGUCCCUGCCAAAACAAAGGCAUACUUAGAAAAAAAAAGGGGGGAAGAAAGGAAACCCAGAAUCGAGGCUGCGCGCGAGAAGAAAGCGUACCAGAUCGAUCGAGCCUGCGUCUGGCCUCAUGGGGAAGCCGUUAACAUGCUCCGGCUGAAAAUCACCGGCAAUUGCAGCCCUGACUCGGGCCGCGACUUCGUCGUCCGCCGGAGCCUCGUUGGACAUCCAGCAUGCCUCGAGGUCCCGAGAUGAGAUGCCAGGUCCCAUCUUGUCCAUCCUCAACGGUCGAGACAUCAAUGGGAGAACUCUCCGGUGAUGGACGACCGAGAGGACGAGAGCGGCGGUCAAACCCUCCUGGCGAAGCUUCUUCAGGACGUCGAGGAGGGGGCCGAGCCGAGAUUGAUGAGCUUGGAUGACGCCGUAUGUCCAGUCUGCUGGACGCUCCAUGAUCAGACGACCCGAGUAGGAAGGCAGGAGGUUGUCGUCGUUCCGUAGGUAAAACCACUGGGAGUCCCAGCCGGCGUGGUUGGUCGAUAACCGUACCGGGAUGUACUCCCACGGCCUAUCCGUCUUCCCUGUCUUCUGCACAAGAUUGAGGCAUCCCGCCCGCACGGGCUUCCUUACGCCCGUGGUUUCGGUGGGGGCGUGGAAAAGUUCGCCCCUGUAGAGGUGGAGCCACAGCUCCCAGUGCGGCAUCAUCCCCAAGUAGCCCUCACACACGGCGGCGAAGACCGCCGCGACGGUGAUGGCGUUUGGGGAGAAGUGCUGGAGCUCCACCCCGUAGUGGAAGCAAAGUGCCCGCAUAAAGCGGCUCGGAGGAGCACCCAGGCCGUGGCGGUGGAAUUUGGCGAAUGACACCACGUAGCCCUCGGGCGGUUGGGGCUCCCUGUGGUUCGCCGGCGGCGCGAUCCACUCAGGCGACGAUAGCGAGGUGCGGCGGCGCAGCAGUCCCUCUCUCUCAAGCUCUAACAACCGGCGCUCCGUCAUCGACGACGGGCGCCAGUCGUCGGCGGCAACGAAUCUCACAGGCAUAUCGGCUGGAAGGACGGUGGAUCCGCUACUGCUCAAGGAGGCGUGUGCGCGUGAGACGGCGAGAAAGCUAAGACGGCAAGAAGGCUAAGGCAAGAGUGAAGAUGGGAGGCGGAAGAAAGAACAGCGGUGGCUCCACGGCGUAUUUAUAGGCAGCAAUCCGCCAACGGACGGAUCCGAGAAAUAAGGUAACUCCCCCCAUAAAUGCACCACCUAACAAUCUCUUUCCCCUCACAGGCGGGGCGCUCCGAAUUCCACACCGACGCAGUGUCGUAACGUCACCCACCUGAAAAGGCACGCCCAACGGGCAAAAAAGGCAAACCGCCACGGCCACCUCCUUCCCUUGUAGGCCAAGGGGCGUACCCGCGAGAGUCUCGAGAGGUCGAUGGCUGGCCCGCCGAAAGGGUUCGACAGCUGAUCUCGAGCACCAGAGUCAGGGAUCCCCAGCGAGCAGUCGAAGAUCGAGGCCCGCCUCAAAGACUCGCUGGUGAUGUCCAAGGUAGGGUCGAGACAGUCGAGAGGAAUCCCCCCGACGGGAGGCAUCGAGCCGCUGAUCGAAUGAGACCGGUAUCCCCGACCACGUCGACCCUGCUUUAUGAGAACGCCUCCGGGCUACAGCUGACCCCCUCGAAAGGGGCACAGGUUCUCACUUGGACUACCCACUAGGAACUCAAUCUGGGGUGGAAGACGCUCGCUCUACCGAGAGUACGUCGAAACCUCCUCACAAGGCAAAGCCGAUCAGAACCUUCCACCACUGGUGUCGACAGUGUUUCUGCAAAUUAGGCAAAAUAACCCUCGAAGGAGUUAAAAAACUCCCUCGAGGUCUCGGGAGCUACCCCCGCGGGGUCACUCGUGCCCCCCCACGGAAAUUCGACCGCAAAAGCAAAGCCUCCACUCGAGCGCCAGCGCUCGAAUGGAGACUCGGGGGCUACUGUCGAGGGUAUCAGUAAGGGGUACCCUCACCGAUGCACCUAACAAGAUUAUCCGUACGCAAGUCGAGGCCCUCAACUCGACAUUCUGGUCACACAUGUGCGCAGCAAUCGACGGCUGCAGCCUCAAAGACGGAAAUGACGUCGAGCGAACCACUUGGAGGUCGAGUGCUGACUACCGUCGAAUACGGAAACAGGCUCGAGCGAAUCAGAAGGCGUCGAGCGCAAGGACACUGUCCGCCGCCUGACGCGCGCACGAGAGCCGGGACAUUAAAUGCACCUGCUGCUUUUCUCACCUAACAUGCUGGUCACGGGGAGGGUGAUAGGGAACAGGCACCCGUCCCGUCGUUCUUUUUGCAGCCUUCCCCACCAAACGGCCCAGGGCGUGUCAGGACGUGGGAAGCGGGGAUGGAACGUCAAAUCAAGACUCCCUCGAGGUAACCAAGGUCAGCGCUCCGAUAUCAGGACAUCGUACGACGUCCGACCCUCGACUUAACAUGGCUCCUUCCUGGGGACGAGACGGGCGUCGACUGGCAAUGCCGUGACCACUCCGCCGGAUUCGCCGCCGAGUCAUACAAGCAUGCGUCCAUUGAACCAGUCUAAAGACGGCGUACAGAGCAGGGUACAGGAGCACGUGCAAUCAUCACCAAGCCACUGAGACGGGACGGCUCGAGGCCACGCCGGUACGGAGGCCUCGAGUAGGUCAGCGCUCCAUGCUUCUAUCGACCCCUACUCUGACACCUAUACAUGUACCUUGGGCCUCUCCUUGGUGCUAUAAAAGGGAGGACCCAGAGAUAGAUAACGACCACGACAUAACACCACGCUCAUACGCAGUAGAUCUCCACGCUUCAUACCACACUUGUAUUCACCCCUAUACAAGCACUUAGGUGCGAGAUAAUACAAACUCUCCUCCACUGGACGUAGGGCCUUCUCUUGCCCGAACCAGGAUAAAUCUUUGUGUCUUCUUGCAUCACCAUCUGGGAAAGGGAGCACGCAUACAAAUUUACUCGUUAGUGUGACCCCCCGUGGGGAAAACACCAACAAAAUGUGAUGAAGGUUUCUUGCUUGGUUACUCCACUACUAGCAAAGCUUGUAGAGUUUGGAAUUUGGCUAGUGGUACUCCUGAAGAGGUGCAUGAUAUUGAGUUUGAUGAAACAAAUGGUUUUCAAGAGGAAGAUGAAAAUCUAGAUGAUGUGAGAGGCAUUCAACUGGCCGAUGCAACAAAAUCUAUGGACUUUGGUGAUUUAAGACCUAGAGAAGUGAUUGAUGUUGAAGAUGACAAAGAUCAAGUGCUUCCUACCUCUAAUGUGCAAGCUAGUGGUUCUCAUGAUCAAAAUCAAGCUAGUGUUGACGGUAGGUAACUCCUAUUUUUAACCGUCAACUAGACAUGAAAAUGGAUCUAUGAGCAAACACCUAGUAGAUAUAGGGUUAUCACUAACAUAAUUCCACGAGUUUUGGUGAAUGUCUAUUUUUGCAGGGUGUCAGCUGAAAAAUACCAAAGAUGGUCCACAUAUCAGGUUUACAUAGAAAGAAUACCACAAACAUCUACUUUUCUAUAAUCUAGAAGGUCCCAAAAGGCUCUAGACCAAACUGGAGCCCGAACUAGCUCGAGAGCCGGGCGGUCGCCCAAGGUGGGAUGCUCACUUCAACCAAUCAGGGUGAACCUCGCGGAUCCUGCCUCCAUCAACUUUGAGGAGUAAUCUUGAGCGCACGUUUAAGUCGGUUUGAUCUAAGGGCUAUGGUUCUUCCUAGGGGGUGGAAAGAUUAGUACCACAUCGCUAGUUUGAGUUAGAGGAGGGGUCAGAUGCCUCCUAUAAAUAAGACCCUCACCCCCCUAGGGAGUAGCUAAUUCUAAAGCCUUAAUUCAUAUUUUCCAGAGAGAAUUAGUCAGAGAGGGGUCCCUCAAAUGGAUCUGUCUCUUUAGGGUUUUAGCAACAAGAGAGAUUGAGAGAGUAUAGGGUGUACAUAAAAGUGGAGGAAGCCCGGCCUAUCAGUGUCUUCUUCCUUGUAUCUACGGGAUCAAGUCUUCUGACUCAAGGCCUUGUUCUAGAAUCAUUUGGCAAUUCGACUUCUAAUACUAGUAAGUUAUUGUUCUUAUUGUUCUUUGGUUUAUGGGUUUACUUUAUUCACUUUGUAUUGGGAAUAGAGUAAUCAUUCAUAGUGUAAGCAUGGUGCUUGGGUAACGAAUACUCGUAGAUACUCCCUAUCUAGCCAGAUUUGUGUUAGCAUCGGGGGAUAUGACAAUCCCCUUGGUGUCUCUGUAAUCCUUGUCCCAUUAGUAGGUAAGGUAGGAUAUAUGGUGCCAGGGUCAAGCAUUCUCUAAGGUGUCUCUUUUCUCCAGGUACUUCCCUUAGAACAAUAUCUACAUAGCUCACCAUAGGUUAGAAGAAGACUGACGAAGGAGUUCUCUCUAUAUCGCUCAUAUUUCACUAUCUUGUCUUGAAAGCCCAGGGGUUAAGUAUAGAUUUGGGUUAGUCUGAUGCACUCUUUCUCCUAGUGGUAAAAAUAUAAAUAACGAUACUCUGGAAUAUCUCUCGGGUGAAGUUCUCACCGAUAUCCGUGUGCUUGCGAAUUUCUCUAUGUGCAUAUCUAAUAUCAACAAGCAUUUCUAGCACCAUUGCCGGGGGAAAGAUGGUCUACUGAGAUAACUUUAAAUCAUGCUUAACCAUGUAUUAUACUUUUAUCUUUUUGUUUUAUCUCAUAUUUUCUUUUUCCUUUUCUUUUCUAUCCCUAUGGAUAAACUAAAUUCCACGCCUAUCUAUCAAUUCCCUGCACCCAUCAGCGUAAGCUUAGAGCCACUAGAGGCCAUGAUUUUCACAUCUAGCUAUGAGCUACGCCGAUGUUUGGUUGCAAUAGGUCAAAGCCAACCCUUUUCUAUAGCUAGAGUCAUAUCUUCUAAUCAAGAAGGUAAUGUACCCAAGGUCCUAUCUUCUGAUCAAGUAGAUAAUGAACUUUUAGCUACACUUAAGAAAUCUUUUAAUCUUACUAUAAAUUUAGGCUUAGACCUACAAGACCUUGUUCUUCAACAUCUUUAUACGAGUCUUGUUAAUACCAUCUUUGGAGGAGUUUUCCUUUCUUUAUCCGUUAGUAAGGUGAGGUUUGUCCUUAUUAUUAGUGGACACACCCCUUGCACUAGCCUUCAUGAUGAAAUCCUAGAGGUAGAGAAGGAAUCAUCCCUUAAACUAGAAGAGGAAGUUUUCAUAGCCACUUUGCAAAUGUUCCAAUCCCUUUGAACGACAGUUAGAAAUACUCAAGGAUGGCAUGUCAAGUGAUGCCAUAGAAGGAGAGCGAAGCCACUCUAAUCCUCUCCCCUUCUAUGCCCACAUUAGAUAUAGAAUACAAACCCAUCUCUAAACCCAUCCUUGACCACUAUGGCUUGUACAAUGCUCUUUCUCCUAAACCACUUGAUGAUUCUAGAAAUCCAUCUAGAUAUCCCAUGCAUAGGAAUCAUCAAGACCAUAUAGAAGAUCGAGAAGAGCAACAUUCAUGGCUAGAGAGCAUUAAAAACCUAUUUGCCAUUGCCAUUGAAUGGAUAGCCAACGCCUUAGAUAAGAUCAAUUCAAGAGAUGACCCAAGGGAAUUUUUGGGCAUAUAUGUCAAGUCACCCUUGGAAGUAGAAAAUGAUGGAGGCUUCAAUGAGCAAAGAAGCUACUUCAUCAACACCCCAUCUAUCCUUACUCUUAUGAAAAAUCUCCUGACUUACUUAGUCUCUCUAACAUUGCCCCACAUGAGAUCUUCAACCCCCUCAUGCUCCCUAUUCCUAAAGUUUUUGAAAGGGUGGUUGUAGACACAUAUAUUUAUCAUAAAUAUUGUAGAUCUCAUAUGGUGAAUUUUGAGAGUAGUGCACUUAGGUUGGUGUUGGAAGGGAAACCACUUCACCAAACCACACCUUGAAGUUUUCCCAAGAGCAAGCUUAAUGUCCUAAAACAAACACAGUUUAGACCAUGACAUGUGUUCAAGUUUCUACUGUGCUUCCCUUGUUAAUUGAGCAUAGAAUUAUAAUUGUGAAAAUAUUCCUUUAGGUAUCCUUGUCAUGAACCUUACCAGGUUUGGAGCAAAAGAUCAAAGGAGUGACAAAUGCAAGGUAUGUCCAACCAAUCAUUAUACAAUAUUGAAUUACUUUCACCCAAUCUUGAUUUUUGCAAAAUUCAAGCUUGGGGGCUAUACUUACAUACAUACAUCUCUUGCCAUGUUGCUACAUCAUCUUGGUUGUACCUACUUUAAAGAUAUGCUCAAUUUGCAAAACAAUAAUCAUGCUCUUUUAUCACUGUUUGAGUAAACAUAUAUAAUGCUUUCAUGUCACCUUUGUUUGCUAUAGUAUAUGUUUAGGUUUGGAGUAGUUUCAUACAUCUCUUAAAUUAAGCAUGGUGCCUAGUUUAGGAGUAGUGAUCUUACUCUCAAAGGCUUUUAAUUGUGCAUGAUUAAAAUGCCUUCUUGAAUCAAAUUAGACGUGGUGUCUAGGUUGAUUUUUGAGCCGAUAGUAUGCUAUAGUAGAUAUUAGAUAUUUUGUUGGACUAACCCCUACAUGAAAGGUUUUAAUGCCAAAAUGGGAAAGUCCUGAGGUAAACUCACACUGGUGAUGAAGAGAGGCAUGAUAAUUUUGCACAAGGGAGACUCAACGCACUCAUAGCCAAGAAUAAAGAUGGGUGCCACAAAACAUGAUCCACGAUCAAAGCACUCACUCCAUGGAGUUGCAUCCUCUUGUCAAUCACUACUUAUCAGGAAUCAAGAAAAAAUUGACAAGAGAAGAGCAUGCACGUGUUGCACUCUCACCUCUCAAGUUGAGAAGCUAAGACAUGAGGAAGAAGGUCAUCCCCUCCAGAUUAUCCAACCAAGUUCUUCCACAUCUCAUGCUCCCAUCGCUCCACACACUGGUUUGCAAUCUCUAAAUUCACUAUUACUUUAUUUCUAUAAGUUUGAAUUGAUUCAUAAUGCCUAUAUUUGAAAAUGAAACAUAAGAUGGGUAUGUAAAAUCAAUCCUUUAGAAAGAAGUAAUUGUGAAUACUAAAUGCACUAUGCUAAGUAUGAUCAAGCAAGUUCCUUUUUAUAGCAUAGAAAGUGACCCUUAGCUGUGUUACAACAAUGCCCAUGUCAUUACUUGUAUAUUCCUUCGGGUAUGUGUUGUCCACUAAUGAUUUGUAGGAAUAAAAUAAUAAGAAGAGCUAAAGGUCCAAACACAAAUUAGACAGAGAACAAACAAUGGCAUAAGAAAGGAGUGCAACAUAAAAGACAGUUGGUGGAUGAACAAGACAUGUGACUAGCCAAGUAAGGAAAGCUUCCACAAGACGUUAGGGCUUCAACAUGCUUCAAAUAUUAAAGGUAACAUCUCUAGGUAAGUGAUCAUUACUUCCAUAAUAACCUCCUUGAUUCUAGCAUGCAUAUAAGUAGCGAGCCAAACAUGAUUUUAGUUACAACCUCAUUUGAUCCAAUCUAAUUAACUCAACAUGUUUAGUUCUUUAUGCUUGUUCCUAGCAUCACUUUGAUGGCCGCAUAGCCUUUAACUCAAUGAUCCGGAAUGUUGUGCAUCCCAUCUUUGGAAGAUGAUAGUUAUAAUCAUAAAGUUAUAUGCAUAGGUAGACUAUUCUUCCUUGAGGUUGAGUAAUCUGAUUUGCGAAAUGUUUUAAUGCCACAUUCUUGCUCAUUGUUUGAUGUUAUCGCCCAUGUUUUGUCGACGAAAGCUGGUCGGCAGUCUACCUUGGGGUAUACCCACGGUAGUAGUUUAUCGGUAGACGGUGCGCAAACUACGAACUCGAUGGUGACGCAAGACACGGACAAGCUUUUUAUCCAGGUUCGGCCGCCGAGUUGGCGUAAUACCUACGUCCUGCGUCUUGUUGUAUUGAUUUGUGUUGAGAGAAUAUGAUGUCCCCUAGGGGGGUCCCUUGCCCCUCCUUAUAUAGUCUGGAGGGCAGGGUUACAGAUCUGGAAACUAAUCCUAGUCGGUUACAAUUGCCAUGGAUAAUUCGAUAUCAAUUCCUAUUCUAACCGACUAGAAUCCUGCUUAAUCUCCACAUCUUGUUUCCUUGCGCGAAACUCCAGGUUGUCGGAUCAAGCCUUGAACUCGUCUCGUAAUGGGCCAAGCCUCCUGGCGGAAGUCUAGCCGUAAGGGUAUAGGGGUUUAUACCCCCACAGCUAGUCCCCGAGCACCAUGUAUUGUGAUGUAACACGCCGUCUUGAGCUUCUUUGAUCAGUGAGACUUGACGUCUUCAAUAAGUGGGAAAGUCGCCCAAACAGUUGCAACAGUAUUUUGACCAACUCAAAAAACAGUUGAUCAACAUUGACAUCGAAGAAGCAGGUUGUUUGAAGAAUGCAUGGUGCUCUUAAUUAAAAAAGAUUUCUUUCCUGCUGAAGUGUGCCCACUUUACUUUUCUGAAAAGUAUAGACCUCAAAAUAGCAAGCAUAUUCACCGCAAGAUGAAGUGUGCCCACUUAGUCCCCGAGCCUGGUAGUAGGUGACGUAGACACGUGGUGCCAGGGUCAAAAGAAAAGUUCUUAAAGAAAUUCUGAAACUGAGAUGCAUCGCCAGAUGCAUCGUACCGAUGUAGUCUCCGAGCUUGCUGGAAGGCGAAGUAUGAGCCUUGUAGCAAGGUCUAAAAAAUUGAAUUUACCAGUCCCCGAGCAUAUCAUGCUCGUCUACAAUUGAAUAGACUAAUCGACCAGUCUCCGAGCAUAUAACGCUCGGUGGUCGGUACAGUCCCCGAAUUCUCAUGGUGGGCUGGUCGACCAGUCCCUGAGCGUAUAGUGCUCGGUGGUCAGUGCAGUCCCCGAAUUCUCAAAUUGGUGGGCUGGUCGACCAGUCCCCGAGCGUAUAGUGCUCGGUGGUCGGUGCAGUCCCCAAGUUCUUAAAUUGGUGGGCUGGUCGACCAGUCCCCGAGCGUAUAGUGCUCGGUGGUCGGCACAGUCCUCGAGCACGGCGUAGGGACCGACGGACAAGUCCCCGAGCGUGGUUGGGAACGUAAACGUGCUCGGUGGUCGGCACAGUCUUCGAGCAUAGCAUAGAGAUUAGUCGACAAGUCCCCGAGCGUGGUUGGGAACGUAAACGUGCUCGGUGGUCGGAGCAGUCCCCGGGCACAGCGUAGGGAAUAGUCGACGAGUCCCCGAGCGUAGCUUGUCGACUGGGCCAAACCCCUGAAAAAUAAAUAUAAAUAAUAGGUAGUACAUGAUGUAUAAAUAAACUUUAGAUAAAAAUCAGUACUGAGAUAAGUUUUAGAUUUUUUGUUAUAAAAUUAGCACAAGUAGUUAAUUCAUCCUAGAGCUUGUACCAGCUCUGGUCUAGCCAACAAUCAGCAUGAGGUGCGGAACCUAGACACGCGUGGGAUUGCCAGCCUCGCCAGAGAGCUACUGCCGACCACCCGGAACGCAGAGGGCGGAUCUCGUGCACGUGUAGGGAGGAGUCGGAGACAGUACCGGCUCUGGAAAGCUCGUGUAGUAGAAAAAAACUAGUGUGGCUAAAUAAAAAGUUGUUUUUGAAGGAUAAUAAAAAAUAUUAUGCCAAAAAUAAAUAAGAUAUUAGAAGUGUACUUAUCUUUGGAUGAAAGUCUAGUCGGUGACGACAAAAUUGUCCGGCUCUCGAGCUUUUCGACUUGUCAUGACGGUGGUCGCUGUUGUCGUAGCGUCGUUCUUCGCGGCGAUUAUUAUUGCGACUGGUGGUUAGAGCAAGUAGGCUAAACAAUUUGGUCGAUGGCCCGAGCAGGUCGGUGUUGUCGAUCUGCCUCCCUUUGUAGCAGGGAAGCGGGUGACGCGUUGUCGGCGUGGUCGGAGACGUUGCUGGAGUAGUCGGAGUCGUAGCCAGCGUGGUUGAAGCCGCCACCGACGUCGAUGAAGAAGUGGUUGGCGCAGAUCGGAUCUACACCUCCUCCGUGGUCAUGGCGGUGAAGUUGUUGAAGCUGACGGUGAACGUGAAGUCGCCCGCCAUGGCCGCGAAGUCAGGGAUGAUGGCCAUCUUGUUCGUCGGAAGAGCUGUACGCACACCCCCUACCUGGCGCGCCACUGUCGACGAAAGCUGGUCGGCAGUCUACCUUGGGGUAUACCCACGGUAGUAGUUUAUCGGUAGACGGUGCGCAAACUACAAACUCGAUGGUGACGCAAGACACGGACAAGCUUUUUAUCCAGGUUCGGCCGCCGAGUUGGCGUAAUACCUACGUCCUGCGUCUUGUUGUAUUGAUUUGUGUUGAGAGAAUAUGAUGUCCCCUAGGGGGGUCCCUUGCCCCUCCUUAUAUAGUCUGGAGGGCAGGGUUACAGAUCUGGAAACUAAUCCUAGUCGGUUACAAUUGCCAUGGAUAAUUCGAUAUCAAUUCCUAUUCUAACCGACUAGAAUCCUGCUUAAUCUCCACAUCUUGUUUCCUUGCGCGAAACUCCAGGUUGUCGGAUCAAGCCUUGAACUCGUCUCGUAAUGGGCCAAGCCUCCUGGCGGAAGACUAGCCGUAAGGGUAUAGGGGUUUAUACCCCCACAGCUAGUCCCCGAGCACCAUGUAUUGUGAUGUAACACGCCGUCUUGAGCUUCUUCGAUCAGUGAGACUUGACGUCUUCAAUAAGUGGGAAAGUCGCCCAAACAGUUGCAACAGUAUUUUGACCAACUCAAAAAACAGUUGAUCAACAUUGACAUCGAAGAAGCAGGUUGUUUGAAGAAUGCAUGGUGCUCUUAAUUAAAAAAGAUUUCUUUCCUGCUGAAGUGUGCCCACUUUACUUUUCUGAAAAGUAUAGACCUCAAAAUAGCAAGCAUAUUCACCGCAAGGUGAAGUGUGCCCACUUAGUCCCCGAGCCUGGUAGUAGGUGACGUAGACACGUGGUGCCAGGGUCAAAAGAAAAGUUCUUAAAGAAAUUCUGAAACUGAGAUGCAUCGCCAGAUGCAUCGUACCGAUGUAGUCUCCGAGCUUGCUGGAAGGCGAAGUAUGAGCCUUGUAGCAAGGUCUAAAAAAUUGAAUUUACCAGUCCCCGAGCAUAUCAUGCUCGUCUACAAUUGAAUAGACUAAUCGACCAGUCUCCGAGCAUAUAACGCUCGGUGGUCGGUACAGUCCCCGAAUUCUCAUGGUGGGCUGGUCGACCAGUCCCUGAGCGUAUAGUGCUCGGUGGUCAGUGCAGUCCCCGAAUUCUCAAAUUGGUGGGCUGGUCGACCAGUCCCCGAGCGUAUAGUGCUCGGUGGUCGGUGCAGUCCCCAAGUUCUUAAAUUGGUGGGCUGGUCGACCAGUCCCCGAGCGUAUAGUGCUCGGUGGUCGGCACAGUCCUCGAGCACGGCGUAGGGACCGACGGACAAGUCCCCGAGCGUGGUUGGGAACGUAAACGUGCUCGGUGGUCGGCACAGUCUUCGAGCAUAGCAUAGAGAGUAGUCGACAAGUCCCCGAGCGUGGUUGGGAACGUAAACGUGCUCGGUGGUCGGAGCAGUCCCCGGGCACAGCGUAGGGAAUAGUCGACGAGUCCCCGAGCGUAGCUUGUCGACUGGGCCAAACCCCUGAAAAAUAAAUAUAAAUAAUAGGUAGUACAUGAUGUAUAAAUAAACUUUAGAUAAAAAUCAGUACUGAGAUAAGUUUUAGAUUUUUUGUUAUAAAAUUAGCACAAGUAGUUAAUUCAUCCUAGAGCUUGUACCAGCUCUGGUCUAGCCAACAAUCAGCAUGAGGUGCGGAACCUAGACACGCGUGGGAUUGACAGCCUCGCCAGAGAGCUACUGCCGACCACCCGGAACGCAGAGGGCGGAUCUCGUGCACGUGUAGGGAGGAGUCGGAGACAGUACCGGCUCUGGAAAGCUCGUGUAGGAGAAAAAACUAGUGUGGCUAAACAAAAAGUUGUUUUUGAAGGAUAAUAAAAAAUAUUAUGCCAAAAAUAAAUAAGAUAUUAGAAGUGUACUUAUCUUUGGAUGAAAGUCUAGUCGGUGACGACAAAAUUGUCCGGCUCUCGAGCUUUUCGACUUGUCAUGACGGUGGUCGCUGUUGUCGUAGCGUCGUUCUUCGCGGCGAUUAUUAUUGCGACUGGUGGUCAGAGCAAGUAGGCUAAACAAUUUGGUCGAUGGCCCGAGCAGGUCGGUGUUGUCGAUCUGCCUCCCUUUGUAGCAGGGAAGCGGGUGACGCGUUGUCGGCGUGGUCGGAGACGUUGCUGGAGUAGUCGGAGUCGUAGCCAGCGUGGUUGAAGCCGCCACCGACGUCGAUGAAGAAGUGGUUGGCGCAGAUCGGAUCUACACCUCCUCCGUGGUCAUGGCGGUGAAGUUGUUGAAGCUGACGGUGAACGUGAAGUCGCCCGCCAUGGCCGCGAAGUCAGGGAUGAUGGCCAUCUUGUUCGUCGGAAGAGCUGUACGCACACCCCCUACCUGGCGCGCCACUGUCGACGAAAGCUGGUCGGCAGUCUACCUUGGGGUAUACCCACGGUAGUAGUUUAUCGGUAGACGGUGCGCAAACUACAAACUCGAUGGUGACGCAAGACACGGACAAGCUUUUUAUCCAGGUUCGGCCGCCGAGUUGGCGUAAUACCUACGUCCUGCGUCUUGUUGUAUUGAUUUGUGUUGAGAGAAUAUGAUGUCCCCUAGGGGGGUCCCUUGCCCCUCCUUAUAUAGUCUGGAGGGCAGGGUUACAGAUCUGGAAACUAAUCCUAGUCGGUUACAAUUGCCAUGGAUAAUUCGAUAUCAAUUCCUAUUCUAACCGACUAGAAUCCUGCUUAAUCUCCACAUCUUGUUUCCUUGCGCGAAACUCCAGGUUGUCGGAUCAAGCCUUGAACUCGUCUCGUAAUGGGCCAAGCCUCCUGGCGGAAGUCUAGCCGUAAGGGUAUAGGGGUUUAUACCCCCACAUGUUUAGAUAGAGCAAAACAUAUGAAUAUUAUCUUUAUCUCAUUCAAUGUGCCUAAGGCUAGAGAAUAAUGAACAAACCUUUUGGUUUUGUUGGUGUUUUCCACCAACAGGGCCCAUGCACUUGAUCUCUGCCUUGUCUCUAUGAGCAGGUACACUUCAAGCAAAACAUGGAGGAGUUUUACAACUCCCAGACUCCACCAAGUGAAGGACCUGGAUCUACGAGCACAAACACACUGACCAGGAUGCUGCCAACGCCGCACUUCGAACUGCUGGACAAACGAAGCACAUGGGUGACACCGUAUCAAGAGGUGCAGACGUCAAGAUCCACACCUAAAUCAAAUGACACACCUAAAGAAUGAACAUGGUGAGAAGUCUUGUUCAGAAGACUUAAAACAUUGAAUCCUCGCCGAAAGGUAAAAUCGAUAGUUAUCCAUAUUUAUCCUUUCUGCAUUCCCUUUUUCCUUAAAUUAUUUACUUUCCUUAAAUAGCUUGUUAGUUAAUCAUGCUAUCUUGAAAAGAAAUUAAAAAUGUUAAAAACAGUAAGCCCCAUGCGAGUAUGCUCAUGGCAUAAAACCCAUAAGUACAUUCACUGUGGUGGCGUAAAAAUAAAAAUAUUCCUGUCCUAUAAAUAUGAAAAUAUAAAAAUAAAUUUAUGAUCCUACCAAAUAGAGUAAUAUUUAUUAGAGGAAGCUCAACAUGAUAACGGCUAAGAGAUUUUAUGCUAACACUUAACCAGUUCCACAAAGCUUUGUUGUCUAUUUGAGCUCCACAGAAUUCAAGGAUCAAAGAAGACUAAGCAGACGGAGGACAUCCUAAUCGCUGUCAGGGUGCUGCCGACAUUCAAAUACACCUCCGCCACCUGCUAGCUACAUCAGAAGAAAUUACGUCAAAAUCCAGCUUGGGGGAGAGCACCCCUAUUUAUCUAGCUAAGUGUUCUACUCAUGUUUAUACUUUAGUCAAAUAAUAAAAAGAUGCAUAGUCAUAAAAACCCAAAUAAAUAUUUUUGUGCUUAUAUAUAUAUCUUUGCUUAGUUUGCUAAAUAAAUAAAUGAAUAAAGUUUGCUAUGAACCCUCAUGAUAAGCUCUCACAUAGAACUGAUGAAUAGUUGCUCUGCCAUGACUAGUUCUCAAAAUUGAAAUCUCUCUCAAGUUUAGACAUGACUGUUAUUAAUUAAGAUUUGCUCUAAACCAGAACUUGUGGGAAGAGUACUUGAUCUAAAGUCUAAGUCGUUAACGAAUACGAUAUGGGAAGGUUGAGCUGUUGUUUAUCUGUUCCUAGAGAUGCUAAAAUUUUAGAGAAUUUUAUCUUUGAAAAUCUUUAAAAUGUUGCAUGAUGAGUUUCUAUAUGAUGAGAGUUUAAAAUCCUACCACAGUCAUAUAUACAUGCUUAUUAGACUAUGAACCAUACAUUUACUUUUUACUACUUAUGAGCGUUGAGUGUGGUCAAGCUGUGUAGACCGUUAGGAGCUUGUCAUAUGGUUAAAAUCAAGAUUCACUUGCACGUUCACUCAUACAUGUUGCUUCUACUCUGGAAGUACACAUCCACAUACAUCCACUCAUUUCCUUAUCCAGAUUCACCCAAAAUUAUCUACUCCUAUCUAGGAGAGAAUAGCCAAAAACAUUAUCCUAUCUCUGUUAUUCCCCAUGAAAUAAAUGCUCAAGAUAUUUUGGUUACUACCACUUGCUACAUUAUUUCAGGUGGGUGAGUGCUCUGAAAAAAAAAGUGAAUACGAGGAAAUAAAAAGGGGCAAGUGCUUGAAACCUCGAAAAAAAAGAUAAAGUGAGACGAGAGGUAAAAAUGGACAAGUGUCCGACAGUAGAAUUAAGGGUACAAAAUACCCACCUGAGAGAAAAAGAAAAGAUAGAGCAUCUCAUUCUCAAGAGUUUCCAAGAGCAAGAAAGGUAUGUAUCCCCUCAAAAGAGCCAAAGUAGAAUUAGACUUUCACCAUUAUUUUCACCAUUAUCACCAUUCAUUCGCCACACAUGCACAUCUUGAUUUCACUUAUUGACUUGUUCUUCUGGAUCUAUGGUUUGACUAUGCAAUAAAUGUCUUGUAAGUAUGUAUUAGCUGUCUCCCACCUAUGAGCUCCAGAUAUCAAAACCUUAUUAGAGUAGGGUG
Molecule: long non-coding RNA, 55038 nt
Filed under: Sorghum bicolor (sorghum)
Lineage: Eukaryota; Viridiplantae; Streptophyta; Magnoliopsida; Poales; Poaceae
Description: long non-coding RNA (SBIC_LNC016374)
Rfam family: Plant small nucleolar RNA R71 (bases 6291-6397)
Source: RNAcentral